This 61602-nucleotide long non-coding RNA is filed under the name Brachypodium distachyon (stiff brome). Its description in RNAcentral is "long non-coding RNA (BDIS_LNC003110)". The stretch from base 1806 to 1941 matches the Rfam family "MIR1120/MIR1122 microRNA precursor family". The record is from RNAcentral. Lineage: Eukaryota; Viridiplantae; Streptophyta; Magnoliopsida; Poales; Poaceae.
AUCUGAGCACUUAAAUGAAACGACAUGAAGAGUACCUUAGUCUUCAUUCCAUCUUCCGAAAUCCACAGGUAAUCAUGAAUCCUUGGAAUAUGUUGCUUGAAUGAAUUUGAAUUGGGGUUUUCUAUCCAACAGCAAAUCAUAUUUAACACCUAGUCAUGGAUAAUAAAAUUAGUGAAAAAUACUAGAUAAUGGCUAUAUGGAUAAUAUAUUAUCAUGAUGGAAUGGGUAUUAAUAAAUAAAAUUAUAUCAACAUUUAUUAAAAAGGAAUCAUGAAGCAAAAUAUGUGAAAAAUAAAAGGACUGCAUCGAACAUUGGUUGAAGAAAGAAAAUGUAUAUUAAGUCAGAGAAGUCCAAUUCAAUUUCUGGUUUAGCGCCAAUCGGAGGGAAGAAAGAUAACUACUAGAAUAAGUUAUGCAUAAUUGGACUAAGGAAGAGGAAGCUAUUGCUCUGAAAGAAAAUGCCAGAAAUUUAUAUGCAAAUUAUUUCAAUAGCUUUGGUUUGGUAAACAUGCCAUCAUGAAGAAGCAAUGUUUUUGGUCUUGGGAGUGUCUUAACUAUUUUGAGACAACCAGUGUGUUGACUUUAUGCUAUAGAUUCUGGAUAACCCUUUAUAGUAUAUAAGCUUCUUUAUCAAAGAAGCUAUUAACCGAUUCUAGAAAUUGUGAAAAUAUUUUUACAUAUAUGUAUAUAACGAAAGUAUUACUGAUAUUAAUUUAUUUUCUAAUGUUCUUAUUUAUGAUCUGUAUAAGAAACAUAAAUCGCUAGACACAUAGUUAAUAUAUUAGUAUUUAUGUAUUCUUUUUUUUACAUCUGAAAGUAAGCAUAUUUUGACACACAAAUUUUGAUAGUACUGAUAGUUUUGCACAAUAUACAUGCAUAGAUACUUUCAGAAUUUUUAGUGAUGCACAAAAGGGUUUUCUCCUGAUGGGUGCAUAGGUGCAUAUAUGAGAGCUCUACAGGGAUUCCUAUAUAUUGCAACGAAUUUUGCGUGAAAAAUAUUAUAUCGUUGCAGAAAUAUGGUGCUAUCACUCGUGUAAGCAUGCAUUUCCUGGGGAUCCUAGUUUCUUCCAUGCAGCUAGAGGUAUGAUGUUUCGUGGUGGGGAAAAGAAAAGAUUACAUAGACAUACCUUGUUAAUAGGGCACAAACCAACAUAGUUGCUAUUUUCAUCUUCAUAAUGGAUAUGCUCCAUGAGGCUUAUUAGAGCUCUCUCUCCUAUCUUGGUAAAGGGCCAGCAACUUAACAUUGGUUCCACUAAUUUGUUUAAAAAAGCAAAAGCGAUGUUGUGCCCACGCGAAGUAGGGUAAGUAAGCUCCUCCUGUAAUGAUAAGCAAAUUAGUAUAUACUAUUCCUCUGAUCCUAAAUUGUUGUCGCUGUUUUAGUUCAAAUUUGUACUAAAACAACCACAACAAUUUAGGAUCGGAGGGAGUAUAUAGAUACAUUGUUACGAUACAAAAAUUGAGGAAAUUCCAUACUGCUUUUAUAUAUAUAUAUAUAUAUAUAUAUAUAUAUAUAUAUAUAUAUAUAUAUAUAUAUAUAUAUAUAUAUAUGUAUAAGAAUAGCUAUCCAAUCAAAUUUUCAUGUGCAAUCUCAGUGAUCAAGCUAAGAUAACCUCACGUUUUAUUCACACAAUAUAUUGGACAUUGAUGAAUUUCUUUCAUAUUAGCAAUACAAUAUGUGAAGCCAAAUUCUUAGAAGCUACAAAUGAUGCGUACAUCCGCUCUUUCUUAAAGGAAACAUCACAGCUAUUUUUGCAUUUUACAAAUCAUGUUGCUUUUCCAGUGAGUUAUCUAUUAUUUUAGCCAAGAAUAAUAUUCCCUCCGUCCACGAAAAGAUGUCUCAAGUUUGUCCAAAUUUGGAUGUAUCUAGACAUGACUUAGUGUAUAGGUGCAUUCAAAUUUAGUCAAAGUUUAGACAUCCUUUGUUGGACGGAGGAAGUACUACAAAUAUUGGAGGUUCGAAAUUUAUAUCUGUCAACGACACAUACCAUCUUAGUCACUAUCUACUAACAAAGACCAAAAGAUUAAUUGAAGUUGGAUCCAAAACGGCACAACUUUGCAUUAUGUGAUACGCACAAAAUCCCCCUUUGCAUGUAUAUUUAGUAGGCUACCAAUUUAACAGGUUUAUUUUAUUGUAUCAUGCAUGUAGCAAUAUAAGAGUCUGAGCUUAUAUGGAUACAAAUGGAAAAUAGCAGACCUUUGCACAAGAACUGUGAGCCUUGUUCCAGUCGAUGUGACUGUACUCCUCUUUGUAGAGCUCAUCUCUUAUUGCCAAUAUAGUUGGACUGAUAGGCCCUACAAUUUUUUGUCCAUAAAUAUAUGCCAUCGGCAUAUAAACCAUCCGGCAGAAGCACCAAAAUUUUCCUACAAAUAAAAAGAAAUAUAUUGUAUUAAUCUUGUAGUGUAGAAAAUAACCGGUUCCUUGGAGAAAAUGCAAAGUAGUAAUAUAUAUAUGAGUACUGACAUAACAAUAACAGGAUAGCUUAGCUUGGAAAAAUUACCCUUUGAUAUUUCAGAUGUACCAUACAGCUAUUGUGAUUAGCUAAGCAAUUACCUGGAUGAAUUGGGAGAAAUUGUGGAAGAAUCCAAAGCUCCGGUAUAACUGGAUUAUUCCCAGACCAGUCGUACACUCCAAUUACCUUGGGUUGAAAGAAAGUUUAGUUUGUGAAACUUCAACAUAACACAUAAUAGAUGGAUCAUAUAUUAAAAAAGAAACUCUCCAUUAUGCUGGCUACUGGCUCUGAGAUGUUAAUGGCAUUGACAAGUUGGGCCAUCCUAUUAGCUUUACUAGAUAUUAGAAAAGUGGGGAAGGGGUGACACUUUAAAAUGUUUUUGCCCCCAAAACUAUUUUAUUUGAAAAGAUCUCAAGUUCGGUUAUUUGUUCCGUACGCCAUAUUAGUUGGUGUGCUUGAAAUUUCUUGUUGGUGCUGCAAAAAUAUUGGAAAAACGGUCUAUGACAGAUAUUUUUAUAUAGUAAAUUUAAAUGAUUUUGAAUGUUUGACUACAAGCAUUCUGUAACAGCACUUAUAAAAGACUAGCUAAUAUGGUUGAUUAGGUAUUAAUUCUUACAUGGUAUUUAAUAGUAAAUAGUAUUAAACAUUAUAAAACCAAACCAGGAAGACAUAAAAAGAAACUCAGGUAAUUAGAAUGAUUUUAGAAAAUCCUGAACGCUUUGUCAUGGUAACAUGCAUAACUUAGUUCUUGAUUGGUUUGUUACGAUGCAUACCGAAAGCCAUAUCUUUGCCCAUUGCGGUGCUGCAGUCACACUUCCAUGAGAUAAAAUUCAAGCGCGCCCCUUGUGCAAGGCAUCAUUAUCAUGAAGCACCUCUCCGAGGAGUCUUAGUGUAGUAUAAUUUAGACACGAACCAAACAUGGAGCUCGGGCCCAAAAUAUGAGUGCUCCAACCACCGUCUUCAUUCUACAUGUAUUUUUUUCACAAAACAUUAUUUUUUUAAUAUAGAAAUCAUUAUUUAUUGCUUUUAAUAUAGAAAUCAUUAUUUAUUUCUUUUUAAUAUAGAAAUCAUUAUCCGAGAUUGUGAGAUCAUAUUCCCUGCCUGAAUAUUGUAAAUGUAUCGACAUAUCUCACGUAUAUGCUCUGGCGAUAACACAAUGCUGAGUGAUCCAGUGACAUGCAAAGCAAAUAUCUGAAAGUAAGAGAUACAACUUUGAUAAGUUAUGGUGAUGUAAGCAUUUAUAGAUAGUUACGAAAUACGUCUAGCUAGUUAUGGAUUCAAGUUAGGGUUCUCUGGUUUAUUUUAUUUGUCAUGUUGAUGUUAAUUAAUUUAAAAAAUGAACAGUUACAGAGUGCUAAAACGUACAUUACAUUUAUAUGCAUUUCAUGCCCUAUGAGGCUAUGACAUAACAUUUAAAUAAAGAGAUGGUUUACAUACUAUGAGAGGCAUAAUGAAUAAAAUCCCGCUGUAACCACCUGGCCAAUGUCCGUCAUGUGCUUGCAAAACAGAGUAUGCAUUGAGAGCUCCUCUUAAUGAAGUUAAUAUAGUUUCCUCUGUGACUUGUUCAUAAUCUUUAAGCUUGUUGACGGGAUGGUUUACUCCUGGUCGGUUUUUGCCCCCAUACUGCAUAAAUAAAUAAUUCUGUUUCAGAGGAGCUCUGAAUGUCUGCAAAUUAGCGUUAUAUAUACAGUACUAUAUAAACGUUCCUGCAGGCGCAUGAUGAGAUCCUCGGACUCCCUGGGCCUCUCGAAGCGAUGCUCGGUGAAGUCACGACGCAGGCGCUCCACAUGGGCGUGCUCCUCCGGCGUGCCGGCAUCAGCGUCGAACUCCCACACCUCCCUGCCCAAGAACUUGUUGUUCGAACGAAGCCACUCGCUCCCGCUCCCUCCCCCGACACCCACCUUUAGCCUCCACAUCCUGCUGCUGCGGAAUGCUGAUCAAUGUUCAAGCUAGUAUGCGAGAUGGUCAGCUCAAACUGAUCAAUGAUAUAUACCUGUGCAGUUCGUUACUCUCGCUACCUUGCUCAAGGUCCUCACAGGCUCUCUUUCUCUUCUUGGAUAUUAUGCAUGAGAUAUGUGCAUGGCUGGGUGAUCGUGGGAGACGGCUAGUUCAUUUAUAUACAAGAAGGACGUCCUGCUCCCAGCAGCUUUCCAAAGCCGUCAGUUUCUCUUUUAGGUGAACUGUCUGCUUCAAUAUUAAAGGUAAAUCCUGUGCUUCGAAUUGAUCGUAAGCUGUUGGUUGCCGGAGGUGUUAAUUUUUUUUCUCAGAUCAAAAGGCUUUUCGCCCUGCUCCGUUUCCAUAAACAAAGAAAAAAGUGUACGCAUAGAAUGCCCCUAACAGGUUCAGAACUUAAUAUAGAACAUCUUCUCCAGCUUAAUUGGGGAUUCUCAUUCUCCCAAGCUUUCCUCUUACAUCUGCUCCAGCAGUGGUAUCUGUCCAGCCGGGUAGAAAGGUAGCUAACACGCCUUAACACAAGCAAAACAACUUCUCCCAAACAAUCUGCAAACCAGACCACAUACUUCUGCAGCAGAGCAGAUGUAAUCAUAUUCAACACACCACGUGCUGGUUUGUGUCCAUUUUUUCUUCUAGUGUUGUUGUCGUACGUUUGUGGUGUAGUCUCUGUUGUACUAGGUAGAUUUUAUGGUUUAUGAUGUGGGUCUUUUAAUCAGAAGAAACGAAUAAUAUAUUAGGUGUCUUUUUGCGGUACAUUUUACUACCUAGGAAGGAGAUCACUAGUAUAAGUCUAAUCCCACCGUUGAUUUUUCAGAUUGCAUGUAAGUUUCAUUAAGUUUGCUUCGUUACCAAAAUACUCUAUGACUGUAAUUAAUGUACUCCCUCCAUCCAUAUUAUUUGUCGCAGAUUUAAUACGAAAUUUACAGAUAACGGAUGACCAUUAUUCUUGCAAUUCUUAGAAACAAGGGUCGUGCAAUUAAUGAAUUACUGCCAUUUGCAAAGCAUUUUGUUUGCUACAAUGAUUCAAGGCAUGUUCUAUUUCUCUUCUUUGUGUUUAAAAUUUGUGCAUUUUUAAUUUUAGAUAAACUCAUAUCGAGUACUGUUGCUAGUCAAAGUGCUAUUGUCAGUGUAACUGUUCUAUCAAGUACAGCACGGCUUGUAGAUGUGGCUAUAUAUUGCACGUUUAUUGAAAAAAAUACCAAGGACUUUUUUUUGAGAUGAAAAGUACCAAGGAAUUGAAAGAACUGGAUAGUGCAAGAAGGCAACAACAAGAAAAUGUACAUGUAUUUGCUGCAUGGUGAAACGAGAGAAGAGCAAGAGGAACUGCACAGGGGAGAAUGGAAGCUAUUGAGCAUGCUUAGAGUUGUUUUUCUUUGUUGCCCAUGAAGAAGUCAAAGAUGGCAGCUCCUGCGCUUCAGUCCUUUGCGUCGCCCUGCGUGGCUCGCUGAGCUUUCGUGCCAGCUUUAGAACUGAACCCUGAUUUUGUUUUGCCUGUGAUGGCCGAUGUUAACCUGCACUCUGAUGGGUGAUUUUGUUUUGCACUGUGAUGGGUGACCUGUAUGGAGUACUACAAUGUACUACUGUACCGUGUUACCCGAGAUGAUGUAGGGGUUGGGCAAGACAGAGAGCGACCACGGAGGCGAACAAUUUCAGAUUGUUUACUGCAAAGGCAGUGAAAACAGAGUAGCUCACCCAUUAUCUAGCCGGCCUCAUCUCGAGCCCACUGUGCUCGCUCUUUCAUCGAGCCAACCAGUUUGGACUGAGGACAUUGCUGCUUCAUAUCAGCGGAAGAAUGGUAUCAUUCUCUACGAUGGCAAAAUUUGGCUACCUCUUCACUCUGGCUUGCACAUGAAAAUUCUUAUGGCACUACUUCCCCCGUUUCAUUCUUGCUGAAAUAUUACAUGUAUCUAGACAUUUUUAAGGUAAUAUUUCGACAAGAAUUAUGAAACGAAGGGAGCAUGUUCUAGCCCAUAUCCGGAGGGCAUUCUGCUUUCCCUGUUACCUUGUGCCGUUAAGCAGUUAAAUGGAGCUGUUAAUUUUUUCUUUUCCAGGAAUGUUCCAUUUGCCAACAGUCCAAGCAAGAUAGGGCUCGUUACCCCGAGCUUGGCAGAUGGCCACAUUGGAUUUUAUCGAAGGCCUUCCUAGAUCAAAGCGUGUCAACUGUAUGUAUUCUCGUGGUAUACAAAUUCUCUCCCUAUGCUUUUUUGACUACUCAACUCCGGAUGAGUUCGUCCUACCACCCUCCGAUUGCUUUUGUGCCAGUGAAAUUGGUUCACUUGGCUUGGGGACUAGAUAUGCAAUCCAACCACCUAGGUUUAAGUCCUCAAGGAUACAAAUUUAGAUUUCCUUUUUUUUAGGAAAAUUUAGAUUUUCUGCUGAUACUUUACGGGUCUCUCGUACAAAAAAAACUUCAGAAAACAAACACGGGAGGACUCCUCACACGGGAAUAGGAAAACACACAUGAAUAGGAUUGAGUAUAAAGUAAAAAACUACAAAUUUUCAAAACAGAGUAACGAGAACAGAGGAUUGAAAACCAUAGGUCUAGUCUAAAGUUUUGUUUGCUUUGAAAAGUAUAGGAACCUUCGCUUUCCGAAGGAAUUGGUAUUGUUGUUUUCUUUGUUCCAAACACCCCUAAAGGAAAAAAAAUCCAUAGAAACCAAAUCUCAAAAAUUCCUUUACACUAUUCCCUUGUCCCAAACAGACCUUGAAAGUGCUCUCUUGAAUGUGGCUAUGUCUUGAUAAUAUUGCAUCCAACAGAGAACAAUGCUAUUCAUGUCCUUCCAUAGGCUUUAGUUCUCCGGCGAACCAUUUAUGAAUGAGUCAUCAGUAGUUACUACAGGCCGUUGAGUUAAACCUCUUGCACUUCUAUAGGGUCCAACAUAUAUAAAAGGCUUGGCUUGUAUACAAGCUAGUUCGAGAAAAAGGAGUCGAGAACUGGUUGUCUAGUAACAAAUGUUAUAGCCAUGCAUGACCAACACCAAAAUAGGCAAAGGAGGCAUCCAAAAGUGAACUUUGAGCACAAAAGGGAUUACUCCCAAGCAAUGAUCAUAUUUUAUUACCAAAUGCUCCAUUCCAACUGAAGUUAAUUUCAAUGCAAGCAAGUAGACAGCUUUUCACAGGAGCAGCCGCUUGUCCAUCUGUAACGCCACAACGUCACUCCUGACAGCUCUGUAGCUUCAAAACUGGCCACACAAACCAACACAUGUCUUUCCAACGCAAUUUGUCCUAACUCAUAUGCUUCGGGGAGAAACUUUCCGGUCGGUCACCCAUCCUCAAAUUUCUCUAAGCCAAGAACACUUAACUUUGAGGUUCUUUUCGGAUAGGCUUCCGGAAAAAAAGGUAUACCUUGUUGAUAUGAGUAUUAUAUCAAUCCUAUUAAGACAUAGGCUAGUAUGUCACAUAAAUCCUAGCGAAGCUUAUCUUGUUUCAACCUAUCUUGCAACAAUAGCCAUCAACAUUUCCCCCCUUAUAAUCCAGCAAAUGUUUUUUGAUUUCUAAAACAAUUUCCCAGAGUAGUGGAAUGACCAUCCUCGAGCAAAUUUCUUUCUAUAGCACGGGGUCCCCAUGCAGCCCUCCCGGAUGCGUGUCUUUUACGUGUAGGCUAUUAAAAUUUCCAUGUAUGUUUAGAAUUAAAAAAGGGCAUUUUUAAGGCACUCUAGUCUCUAUUCAAGAUUUAUAGGAGUGUGCUAUGGCUCCUGAUCCGCUCAUGAUGAAGGAACACGAUCUAACGAUCUAAAAUAUAUGAUCCACGUACACAGCGGAGAUAGUACAUUUGGGAUAGAGAUGAUGAAAUCAAAAGGAUUAGAAAUGCAAAGCAUAUGAAAGAUGGUGCUAACAUAUCAGCUGAUGAUCGUGUUCACGGGAGAAUACCCCCCCCCCCCCCACCACCACCACCCGGCUAAUUCUGUCGCCUUUCCCUUCUUCCCCACUCCCGCACGAACCAGCCACUAGGGUUCUGACAAAUUGCGAGGCGGGUCACCUGUGGCCAUGAUGACUAAAAUGCAUGAUUGUACCGUCCAACUCAACUCCUGUGCUUGAUGUUCAACUACUGAAUCUAAUUAACAUGAAGAAAGGACAAGGGAAAAUAGAAAAAUUGUUCCUUGAGUUUGAUGAACGCCAUUUUCCUUCUGCAGCUGCACUCUCACAUUUUUUUUGGAAUCAUCAUCAUACCAAGAUUCUGCCUUGAGACAGAUGAGGGCGAGGGUGUGUGUAAAACAGCAGGAGGAAUAGACUAGACAUGGAUCGAGCGAAAAAAUCAAUUGGGGCGAAACGGCGAAACCUUGGCCUAGCAGCGGAGCCCUUUAAGAACUAAAAUAAUGCCUCCCUUCUAGCGGUAUACAGGGGUACCGUAAAAGGUUUUUAUUUGUACUCCCUCCGAUUCAUAAAAAGUGUCAUCCACUUAGUAUAAAGUUUGUAUUAACUUAGUACAAAAUAAACGACACUUCUAUGGAUUGGAGGGCUUAAUAUUUAAGCCUUGGUGAUAUAUCAGCGGUUCUCAACUGGAGAGAAAGAAACAACGCAAAUAGAUGUUACAGAUAGUGCAAGCCAUGUCACGGCUUCAAAUAGGAAGAGGAGGCAUCAGAAGUGAACUUCAAGUUUGUGAGGGUUACUUCGUUUGAGGCUUGAGUUCAGAACGCAUUUUGUGGCACAAAGCCGUAACAAGAUGGCAGACGACCUUUGUGACGACACAUGCCAAUAAUGACGAAAAUCAGACCAAGCCGUGUGCACAUUGCCACUGGUGUAGAGUGGCUGCGAUCGACCUUAUAUAUGCAUGGCAGUGGCACCGAGGCAUGGCAUUCCGAGGCUGGAAGCCAUAGCCGUGGAGGGUACACAGGCAUGGAACUUCAAGCAGCAAGAAGAUGUGCAGGGAGAAAGUGUAUGGAUUCAGGUUGGAAGUGAACUCGUGUUGAGAGGAUGUCAGGUACUCCGUUGAUAAAGUGUUACAAAAUUUUGGGUAUUGAGUUGUCAAAAAGAUAAUCAAGCACACAAAUAAAACAAUGCAAUCAGACACGGAAAAAAUGUAAAUUGUUUCUUUUUCCUAACCGAAACCGAUGUGGCGGCCAUGUGACGUGUUUUACCCUCGUCGAACCAUUUUUAGACUAAGUGUCACAUUAAUCCUAGUUUAGGAAUUUAUGUGUGUGUUUUUUUAGUUUGUGUACUAAAGUGUUUAUUUCAGCCAAGUUCAUAGACUAGUGUUGUAUUCACCGGAUCUAAGGACGAAGCCCCAUCACCGGUGUGCCCCCUGUAGAUCCCUCUCGCUGACAUGGUCGCCCGAUUGUCGCCUCUACGGCACCAUCUCCGCCUUGACCUGCGGUCGACUCGCCGACCGUCGGUGUUCAACGUCGGAGUCUUGGUUGCCUCGGUGCCGUCGAGGGGAGAGAGGAAGAGCAGAGUGCACGAGCGCAACGAAAGGUUCGUCUCCUAAUAUCUCCAUGUUGAUUUUGCAACAAAAAAAAAUGAGAAAGAGGGAUUGGAAGCCACGGUCCUGGCCUUAGCUGACGUGGCGGCCACGUGGCGUGUCUAUGCCUCGACGAACCGUUUUUGGACCAAACUGUUACACUAAUCCCAGUUUAUGGACUAAUCUGUGCGGUUUGCGAGUUUAUGGUUUAAAAUGUUCAUUUCGCUCGAGUUUAUGGACUAAUGGUGUACCUUACUCAAAAAAAUUGUUGAUGCUGUGUCCAUGUACAUAUAUAGUUGACAUGUUGAUACAUACAUGAAUGGAUACACAUUUAUAAAUGAAUUAAAUGUAAUUAAGUUGUGUCUGAGGCCCUCACGAGCCAGCAGUUGUACUAUAGCUUGCCGUGGUGGGUGGGACCAUGGAUUGGCACACACCAUGCCGACGUCUCACUUCCUGGGUAGAUCGCAUCGUGUCUCAUCGUUCUCAUGGAUAUAAUAAACCCACGAAAGAAGCUCACACAUAUACUGUACUUGAUAUAUACAGGCCGGGUCUUAAGCGCGCUUACAAGGAUGAUGCCAAAUAUGAAAUGCGGAAUUGGUUGAUGCAAAACGUUGCAUAGCGUGCGGCUCGAUCGAUGGAGCUUGCAACAUUUGGACUUGUGUGGCAUCAGGAAAUAAAAUUCGAUUAUGCAAGAUGGCAGACAACGAAAGCCGUUUCACCAUGGUCAGUGCCUCAAGAUAUGAAGUACCGACCAAGACCUUUGUCGCAACUACUCCUCUCCCCGGCGCAGCUACUUCACCCCUGCCCAUCUUACCAGACCCCGGCUUCUCUUCCGCCUCUAUGCAGUGACCCACAACUCGCACUUUCCAUUGACCACUUCUCUCCAUGAUGCUAUCCAGAGAUAAGUCUGGCCAUAUCACCUCUGAACUACAUUGUUGUUCUAAAGUGUUGUUCAGAUGGAGUCCCGGCUGUCCCGGCAAUCUAAUGGCUGCUACUUGAUUUGUGACGCCUGUGGUGUGUGACAAAUAUCAUUUGUGUUGUGGAAGGGGGUUCCCGCCCACCCUGAAUCGACGCAAAUUAUUCUGACUCUUAUAAACCCUAAUAAUCUGUGUUGCAUCUCGACGCGCUACGGCUGGCCUCAUCAUGCCCCAGCACCCAUCUUCAUACGACUCCUCAUCUCGCAUCAUCUCAUUGCACCAGUACAUACCACAUCACAGUAGUUAGUUCCUAGAGUGCAGAGUUGUAAUUAUGUAAGAGGCAAACAUGUGCUUCCCCCUCAUCCCUAAGAUUCAUUGGAAUAUUCCCUAGAGGUAGAAAGAAAAAGACACAAUUGCCCUCGGCCAAGCAUAAGGACCGAGGGCAUGACUGUAAAUUGCCUAGGGGCAAGCUUGUAAUCUUUCAACUCCCAAAAUCUAUAAAUAGAAGGACACCCACUCAUAUUUGGGAUGGAUGGCAUUUGCUUGAGGUCAUGCCUCGCCCCUUGUCAUCCCAGGUCACAAGACUCCGACUCCUGCAGUCGUCGAGUGGACAAGCCUCCAGACCCACGUUGUCCUUCCGACUCUCGAAGUCGCUCGACGUAAGACUCCGAUUUUUGAAGUCGUCGAGUGGUGAAGCCUCCAGAACCACGUAGUCGUUCCGACUCUCGAGGUCGCUCGACGUAAGACUCAGACUCUUGAAGUCGUCGAGUGUAGAAGCUUCCCGACCCACGUAGUCGUUCCGACUCUCGAAGUCGUGACCCAUGCUUAAGGUUGUCAGAGUAGCCGAACACAAUGUAAGAGUUGGGAUCUUAAUUAGAUAAAAUCUCUUCUUGUGAGCUCUCCUCCCCUUGCAUCUUCUUGGUGUGCAGGAGGAGACAUGAACACCUUGGGCGCUUGUGACGUCAAGACCACACGAGGCGGAGGCCACUUGAAGCCAGCACAACGCGGAGGCGACGACCGAAGCACAACAGACGAAACACCAAGACCGCGAGGGAGCAAAGGAGCCAUGGACGUGAUGGGGGCAAGACAUUGGUGUGAAACUCGUUUCCUUGUAUGCAUACCUCGUUGAGCCAAAUGUCCAAAUCAGAGUGUUACAAGUUUACUGUUCGGGAUUAACCCGCCAACAGUUGGCGCCAUCUGUGGAAAUCGACACGAGAAGCUAUGUAAUGAAAUGUUAACACUCCAAGCAAGUGCCUUCAUCAAGUCUAACUCCAAAGGUCCUUUAGGUGCAUCGGAGAUGUCACAUGGCAACAUCCCAUGUCGAGAAGCCUUCCGCAAAGCGCCAUAUCGCAUCAACAGAUCCGUCCGAGGAACUCGAAGGAACUCCAAGAUGAUGUCGAGAAGCAACUGAUUCCCGUGCGCCGGAGACUUGGCGACGGCACAUUGUGUCGAGUAGCGUCUUAUCCUUGUCCGCGGGCAGUGAAUACUCCACGACAACGUGCCGCGCAAAGCAACUCGCUCUGCCGACACCAAAGUCAUAUUGCGGCAGUGUCAGCGCAAUGGGCCGGGCUCGUGCUGAAAUUAAGCCUAGUGUAAGGACACCGUCAACAUAGACAAUGCCAGCAAGGUUGAACUCACACAAAAUAUAGUGAAGUAGAAUAAUUCAUGGCGCAAAUAAAUAUACAAGUAUACGACCAUUAUCUACAAACAACCUCUAGAUGAUACGUACAAAGAAAACUGGCCCCCCACGUGGCUCCAGCCAGCGCCAGGACACCAUCAUAUCGAGCAGUGGCCUGAUGUGCGUACUGCACGCUGAAGUUUAUCCUUAUGUUUAUUUUUAUUUUUUGAUAAGAAAGUUCAUCCUUAUCCUUAGGCCAAGGUCCUAUGCCACGUCAGGUGCUCCAUCCUGCAGUGACACGUUGGUGGCUGCUGAUGCUUCCAGGCCGGCCGCAUGCGAGCGACUCACACGAAGGCACACCUUCUGGCUGAAGCUUCUCGCCAAGCACGCCGCGCUCGACGCCGUCUUGCAUCUAGUCGCGCUAGGCUUGAAGAUACUGGCCGAGCUCUCCUCUGCCAGACGGUCAGUUCCUGCGUCUGUCGCUGCUAGCCUUGCCUGUACCCAAGAACAUCACGACUCGCCCCCGCCUGGUUCCCAUCAGUGCUGGCCCUCUGCGACCGAGCUCGCUCCCGGACCUCCGCCUCCUGCCGCCGCGUACCUGCCGACAACCAAGGGCAUCGAGCUCACAAGAAUCCUGGCGCCUCGCUGUGCCCGUCCUUGCUUGACCACGACGCUCCCGGCGGACCCAGCGUGCCAUGGCCGCUCUGCCUAGCUAGACGUGCUCCGGCGCUGAGCUUCCCGCCGCCGUGACGUCCUCUGCACUCUGCAGGCGUCCUCUGCAGCAGCAUCCCAUCAGGCUCCCCCAAAACUGACGAGGAACGGCGCGCAUGGCGCUCCCGCUGCCUCCACGCAUCGAUUUCAGCGCCCAAGGACACACCAACCUUGGCGACUCCACGGGAAAGAGCGGCCACGCUGGCUACGAUGUCGCCACUCCGUGCAUCGGAGCUUCACCACCGUCGGGGUGCCGCGCGCCGCACACCCGAUCCGGCCUCGCUCCGCUCUGCAUUCCACCGCGCUGCUCUGCUCCCCGAGCUCGCUCGGCGUCUGCGCCACGCGCCCGUCACCGCCAUCUUGUCCGCGCUCCGCAGAAGCCACGCACGGAUGCACCAGCGCGCCUCGACGCAGGACCGCGCCGGAGUCCCCCUCCCCGACCCGCCGCGCUCCACACCCGAUCCUCAAUGCACUCCGCAUGCGCUCGCCCCAUGAGGCCACGCCACGCGCCUAUGACGCACACGCGUUAAGGACCCCGCACCGCGCACCUGCUCGGGGCCACCAGGCCGGAGCCCGUGCCUCGCCGGGCGCCGCUGCUCAACAAAGAAGCCCCGAUUUUUGGUGUGCAGGCCGCAGACCAUGCAUGACCUCUGCACCCAGCCUCGAGCUCGCGGGCGCCGAAGACCGUCCGAACCACCAAGUCCCCUUCCCUGCUCGGCGCCUGUGCCCUUCGCUGGACCAUCCUCAACCUAGCUCGACCACCUGUACAGGAGGAGAGAGCUUGGGAGACGAGCUGGGGAGCAAGCAGGGCGGGGAGAAGAGAGAGCGCAGGGGCAGAAGAUAAGAAGAAAGCUGAGUAGGAAGGAGCAGGUGAGUGAGUGGAUAGGAUCAGCAGCUAGCGGGAUCGAUGGCAGGUAAAAGAAAAAACGUAGCAUUAUCGAUAAUGCUAGAGAUUUUGUCAUCGGGUUGGCAUUGGAUGCAUUUUUCUUCAUAGACUCUCAACGUCAACUUAGAUACUUCAAUGAAGCAAUUGUUGUAGCCUCGCUCAAUACCCCUGGGACGAACAACAAGCUCAGGAUGGCACACAUGACGAGCAGCGCCAAUCGAAUGCGGCAAGGAAGCGAUUGGCACCAAAUCGCAAGGGGUUCAACACCCCGUGACGCAUCAAGCUUACAACAUCCGUCACCGUCAUACGUGAAGCUCAAUCCAUCGUGAACAAAAAGCAAUCGGUGCAACCGCGCUAAGAGUUAACCACUCGAGGCCACACUCCGAGCCUAUGGCGUCACUUAAGCCAUCCAUCGGCUACAAUGGUGAAUCAAUUAACAGAACUCACAGGGGGUUCAACACCCCAAUUAAUUUCUCCCGAACCUCAUGAAGUAAUGGGUAUAAGCUUGCAAGGGGUUCAACACCCCGAGCUACAUUUUGAGCUUUUGAUAUUUAUCUAGCCGCAUUUUACUUUCUUAUUAUAUUAAUAUUUCUUGACAUUACAUUCACCUCUUUGUCGACUUUGGUUUGACACAAUGAACUACGUGAAUCUUCUAUGUUAUGCCUUUUGCAGGAUGAGAUUUAUUCACAACACCUAUCUAUCAUGACAAUGCCAAGUCAAUAAAAUUCCACCAUGAAUGGACCAGGUCUAGCUCACCGGGACGACAUGAGAAGGUAAUACGGCCAUGAGAGGGCUCGGACUAGCUCCCCGAGAAAUCAUGCGCCAGACAUACCCCCUCCAUGGACGGACCCGGCCUAGCUCACUGGGACGACAUGAGCAAAUAAGAUAGCCAUGAGAGGGCUCGGGCUAACUCUCCGAAACAUCAUGUGCCAGACAUACCCCGCCAUGGACGGACCCGGCCUAGCUCACCGGGAUGACAUGAGCAAAAAAGACGGCCAUGAGAAGGCUCGGACUAGCGCCCCGAGAGAUCAUGCGCCAGACAUACCACCUCCAUGGACGGACCCGGCCUAGCUCACCGGGAUGACAUGAGCAAAUAUGAUAGCCAUGGAUAUCCUAAACCAUGCCGACGUCUCACUUCCUAGGUAGAUCGAUAAAUUGAGGCAUCGUGUCUCAUCGUUCUCAUGGAUAUCAUAAACCCACGAAAGAAGCUCACACAUAUACUGUACUUGAUAUAUACAGGCCGGGUCUUAGGUGCGCUUACAAGGAUGAUGCCAGAUAUGAAAUGCGGAAUUGGUUGAUGCAAAACGUUGCAUAGCGUGCGGCUCGAUCGAUGGAGCUUGCAACAUUUGGACUUGUGUGGCAUCAGGAAAUAAAAUUCGAUUAUGCAAGAUGGCAGACAACGAAAGCCGUUUCACCAUGGUCAGUGCCUCAAGAUAUGAAGUACCAACCAAGACCUUUGUCGCAACUACUCCUCUCCCCGGCGCAGCUACUUCACCCCUACCCUUCUUGCCAGACCCCGGCUUCUCUUCCGCCUCUAUGCAGUGACCCACAACUCACACUUUCCAUUGACCACUUCUCUCCAUGAUGCUAUCCAGAGAUAAGUCUGGCCAUAUCACCCCUGAACUACAUUGUUGUUCUACAGUGUUGUUCAGAUGGAGUCCCGGCUGUCGCGGCAAUCUAAUGGCUGCUACUUGAUUUGUGACGCCUGAGGUGUGUGACAAAUAUCAUUUGUGUUGUGGAAGGGGGUCCCCGCCCACCCUGAAUCGACGCAAAUUAUUCUGACUCUUAUAAACCCUAAUAAUCUGUGUUGCACCUCGACGCGCUACGUCUGGCCUCAUCAUGGCCCAGCACCCAUCUUCAUACGACUCCUCAUCUCGCAUCAUCUCAUUGCACCAGUACAUACCACAUCACAGUAGUUGCUUCCUAGAGUGGCAGAGUUGUAAUUAUGUAAGAGGCAAACAUGUACUUCCCCCUCAUCCCUAAGAUUCAUUGGAAUAUUCCCUAGAAGUAGAAAGGAAAAGACACAAUUGCCCUCGGCCAAGCAUAAGGACUGAGGGCAUGACCGUAAAUUGCCUAGGGGCAAGCUUGUAAUCUUUCAACUUCCAAAAUCUAUAAAUAGAAGGGCACCCACUCAUAUUUUGGGUGGGUGGCAUUUGCUUGAGGUCAUGCCUCUCCCCUUGUCAUCCCAGGUCACAAGAUUCCGACUCCUGCAGUCGUCGAGUGGAGAAGCCUCCAGACCCACGUUGUCGUUCCGACUCUCGAAGUGGCUCGACGUAAGACUCUGACUUCUGAAGUCGUCGAGUGGUGAAGCCUCCAGAACCACGUAGUCGUUCCGACUCUCAAGGUCGCUCAACGUAAGACUCCGACUCCUGAAGUCGUCGAGUGGAGAAGCCUCCAGACUCACGUAGUCGUUCCGACUCUCGAAGUCGCUCGACGUAAGACUCUGACUCCUGCAGUCAUCGAGUGGUGAAGCCUCCGGAACCACGUAGUCAUUCAGACUCUCGAGGUCGCUCGACGUAAGACUCCAACUCCUGAAGUCGUCGAGUGGAGAAGCCUCCAGACCCACAUAGUCGUUCCGACUUUCGAAGUCGCUCGACGUAAGACUCCGACUCUUGAAGUCGUCGAGUGUAGAAGCUUCCCGACCCACGUAGUCGUUCCGACUCUCGAAGUCGUGACCCAUGCUUAAGGUUGUCAGAGUAGCCGAACACAAUGUAAGGGUUGGGAUCUUAAUUAAAUAAAAUCUCUUCUUGUGAGCUCUCCUCCCCUUGCAUCUUCUUGGUGUGUAGGAGGACACAUGAACACCUUGGGCGCUUGUGACGUCAAGACCACGCGAGGCGGAGGCCACUUGAAGCCAGCACAACGCGGAGGCGACGAGCGAAGCACAACAGACGAAACACCAAGACCGCAAGGAAGCAAAGGAGCCAUGGACGUGAUGGGGGCAAGAUAUUGGUGUGAAGCUCGUUUCCCCGUAUGCACAUCUCGUUGAGCCAAGUGUCCAAACCAGGGUGCUACAAGUUUACUGUUCGGGAUUAACCCGCCAACAAUUUGCAUAAUAUUCUUAGCAUGAUUGCGGGCUGUGUCAAUUCUGCUCCUUGUCACUGAAAACGUCGGCUAAAAGCAUAAUUUUAUUUAUUCAGUAUACUCCAGAAAUCAGUUACUAGAAGCUCUUUACCUUUUAUUGCAGAACAGUGCGAAAAGACAUUAUAUAAACACCAAAUUUUGGGUGGAUACUCUACAAAUCGGAGUACUCAGAUGAAUGGACAUUGUUGGGGCUAAUCAGUAAAUUAAAGAAAGAAGAGCAAGAAGUAUGUAAUAAAUAAAAAAGAGUGCAAGGACAUCUUGGAGAAGAAGAUGAGAAGACAACGGGAAAACGUGCAAAAAUGCAGUCACGCCAUGAUUCCUGUAUCAAUUCUACUCCUUGUCAUUGCAAACGUGCAAAAAUACAAUGCACUGUUGAAGACGUUUUCUACUGUGCCUAACACUCCAUAGUCUAAAUGGACUAUUAGGGAAGGGCAUGGUAGUCUUUUCACAAAAAGGAAAGGAAAAAAACAUCGCUUCGUCGAUUUUCCUGAUCCCGAAUUCAGGAAAAGCCGUCCUCCAAAUAAGGGGAGCCUCGUCUCAGCACGCCACCGCUGCCCUCCCCUAGCACCUGGCCUAAUUCAGCGCGCCACCGCAGACCGCGCCGUCCUCGGCUCCUCGCCCUCCUCCAGCGCGCCGCCGCCAACCUCGACCCAGCCCACGCCGCCGCAUUUCUUCUUCAACUCCGGCCACACUGCCCCGAUCAUCUUCUCUGGCGCUGCCUUCUCCUGGCAACCAUGUUUAUUGAGUCGGAGCUUACCAUGUUUUAAUUAACUACGUCCGAGCUUUCUUUCAAGCAUAAUUUGUUUGUUUGAUUGUUCAUUUUUCUGAACCAUGAUACAUGACGAAGUGUGAUCCGAAUAGGAAUAAUCGUCAUUAAUGUAACGGUGGCACCAGUGUAGUGAGGAACUCAAUCCAAAAUCUUAGAGUUCAGAAGUAAACUGAAAGAAUUAAACUGCUGCUGUAGCAAGGAAAUAAGCGAGCCGUCGAGGCCGCCGCGUCGCCUCCAGCACCAAAGGCGGCGGAGGAGGGAGCUCGUGAGGCGGUCUGCAGAAGCAGCGGCGACGGCGGAGUAGAGCUGCUCGUGCGAAGUGAAUCGGCCAAGAGAUGCGGGAUGGGGAUAACGACGGAAACUGCCGACAUUUUUUUUCUUUGAGAGUGUCUAUCCGUGCCCUAAAAUAUAGUUAUUUUCGGUCGACAAUGGAACCCAUCCAAUAAAGAUUUUUUUAUCCAUCCAAUCUUAAUUAAUCUUAUACGAAUCUCAAUGUUUGAAUAAAAGGUUGUUAUCAUCGACUAAGAAAUAAUUCGUCUAAUAGCAAAACCGUUUUUCUUUUUUCGUUGUGUUAAGUUGCGGGUUUAGAUUAACUUUUUAUCUAUGACUUCUUAAUGCUCCGAGUAAAUUUCACAAAACCACAGGUGUUGGGGUUCGACUUUCACAUAGGGGCGAGUUUUGUGAUUUGCAACACAAAACCUGUGGUUUUGUGUCUAAUCUUUUCAGAAAACCCAAAUGACCCGGAUUAGGCUAUUUGACAGUGAAACCAACAGAGAGACGGCCCACAGGUCAGCCGCCACAUUGGCAGUUUUUGUGCAUCUCAUUUAUUCACAUAGACCCCUUGCCUUUGCUCUAUUCACAAACUCUCCUUCACCCCACCAACUGCCAUGGAGCUUCUCUUCCUCUCUACCUUGCCCGCAGCCGGUGACCUGCCCAGCGCCGCCUCCGCCUGCCCCGGACAGCCACCGGCGACCGGCCGGGCCCUGCGCCUCCUCCAUCUGCCCCCGCCCCGCACCCCUGCCCCGCCUAGCCUUCGUCUGCCCCCGCCCCGCGCCGCCUCCGCCUCCGCCCGCCCCGCGCCCCUGCCCGCCGCCGCCCCCGUCUGCCUCCGCCCACCCCGCGUCCCUGCCCGCCGCCGCCUCCGUCUGCCCCCGCACCGCCUCCGCCUCCGCCCGCCCCACGCCCCUGCUCGACGCCGCCGCCGCCCGCCCCGCACAGCCCCCGCCUGUCCCGGCGACCCGCCCCUGCCCUGCGCCGCUGUGCCUGCCCCCGCCCGCCGGCGGCGACUCGCCCCAAUCCCGGCCCGCCUUCCGCCUGCCCCGGCCCGCUGCCGGCAAUCGGCCAGCCCCAUGCCGCGUCCUCCUGCCCCAUCCCACCGCCGGCGACCCGCACCUGCCCCGUGCCGACCCGCCCCUGACCCGUGCUACCAUCGGGUUCUUGGUAACUUUUUGUUUUUGUUUUGUUUUCUCAGAUGUGAUUUGGAGUUGGGUGCAAAUACAAACUCAGAUGAGGGGUUGGAAAAAAGAGAGAUUUUCUGACGUGGCGACUUACUUGUGGGCCAUAUCUGUCGGUUUCGCUAUCAAAAUGCCUAAUCCUAGUCAUUUGGGUUUUCCUAAACAAUUAGGCUCAUAACUUGUGGUUUUUUGUUGCAAAGCACAAAACUUGUGCCCCGUGAAACCCUAGCCCCAAAACCCGUGGUUUCUUGAAAUUUACUCUAAUACUUCAUUUGGUUCCACUUGAUACUACUCCGCAUCUCUAAAUUGGAGUAUUAAGGAGUAGUCACUAAUCUGAGCUAUUAGAUCAAAGAAAACGGACGGUCCAAAUUAAUUCCGGUGUACCAUAGAAGAGUUCAUCUAACAUCUCAAUAUUUGGCACAUUUUUUGCCAUGCAGGUGAUGCCAGCUGGCAUGCGGAGCGUGGUCCAGAGCGUGACACCUUUGACCAAAACAAAUAUUUGCAUGUAUAUAUAGAGUUUUAUGGAUUUGUACUGAUUCACUAGCUAAUAAGUUGCACGUUCGGCCCCUUGUUUCUUACCUACUAUAUAUUGUGAACUCGAUGUGCAAGACGCACAUCUUUAAGCAAUUAUUUGUGUGGCGAGGGAAGGAGAGGAUCCGAAAAAAGUACCCUAUAUAUGUUGGGUUUUCCAAAAGAAACAAAGAGUAGGAUAUACCAAUCGUAUCACUAAGAAAUUAGAGUACGAGGCACCAGGAAUCUGGCUUGAAGCCUUUGUCAAAUCUCUUUUGGAGAUAGACAUCGCUGGUUUAUGCUCAACCUGCUAGCUCCCUAGACCGGAUGAGCAUACCGAAGACAUUGAUUGCCAUGUGGUGUAGAGUAGAGAAGGAUGGUGAGUUUCCAUCCGCCAUGGCAUUCGAUCACCCUUGCUACUUGAAGCAUCUGGAAAACCACAAAUGACUUUAUCUUCAACAAUUCCACAGCCAACUCUAUAAAUGCAGGAAUUUUUUUUAAGGAAGAGCUCAACCAAUUUUUUCACAGAGCUAAGAGAAACACUUACACAUGUUUCAAGAGUUAGUUUGACAUUCAGAUAGGCUUUUCAUUUCUUUCUCAUGUAGGAGCACAUCUUUCCAUUGUACAAUAACUUUCGUUUUACUAAAACUUGGGUUGUAGUUUUUACACCUACUGUUUUACCUUUAAAAUAACGCCUACCUUCUCCAUCGGGUUUGGUCUCUGAAUUUCCUGCCUCCCGCCCAUGCUUGUUUCUGAAUCACGCAUGGUUUCUGGAUCUCAGAUUCAGCAACUGAUUUACUUUUUCCAUGAACUGCCCGCGAGCUUCUCAAUUGUUCUGUGUGAAGGAUCUGGCUGCCAUAAAUUGAUAUAGGAUAACAAAAAUACACAGCAGGGAUUUAUCAUGUUGCCAUCAUAUAUAACUACUAGGUGAUUUCCAGCGUGUUGCUGCGCGCGGAACCAUGUUAGAAAAAUAAUUAAUUAAAGCUAAUGUGAAAAUGUAAAAAUGUUCUUGUUUUACAUUUAAAAACAAUAAAAUCUACCCUCUCUGUUACUAAAUGUAAGAAGUCCUAACUUUGUUCUAAGUCAAACUUCUUCAAGUUUGACCAACUCUAUAGAAAAAUCAACAAACAUCUACGACUCUACAUUAGUUUUUAUAAAUUAACGAUAUAUAUUUUCAUACUAUACUUAUUCGACAUUCUAGAUGUUGAUAUGUUUUCUAUAAACUUAGUCAAACUUUCAGAAGUUUGAAUUAGGACAGAGUUAUGACUCCUUACUUUUAGGAACAAAGAAAAUAAAAAGUAGUAUGUGCACAAUGUUUGGACUAACUUGACACAUGUGGAAUACAUUUAGGACCUCAAAUGCAUUUUACUCAAAAUUAUAUGCAUUGUAUCUUGUAAAGGAGGGAGUACCUCCCUAUUGUUUCAUAACUCCUAUUAAUUAAUGCUUCAAUGCAAAUCCAAUUCAAGGACUAAGAAGCUAUCUAUAUGCAUCCCUGCCCGGAGAAAUCAAAGGAGAUCGACGCCUUCUUAUUUAUUUUUAAAUUCUACAGAAAAAUCAAGGUAGGUUGUAUAAAACUGCAGGUCCAUGUCCAAGCUGGCUAGGCUAUCAAAGCAAUGAUCGAUAGUAGAUAGCAGGUCCAGGUCCAUGUCAAAGCCUGCUAUAUAUUCCGGAUCUUCUAGGAAGGAGAGGCACCAGAAAACUUGAGUUCUUGAGGAGAAAUGACAACAGAUCAAGGAAGGGGAUAGGAUCGAGUUCAUACUUCGUUGUGUUCUAUGAAAGCUGAGCCUCAGAUAUUUCCUCUAAAAAGGGACAGACAGGGUUCUGACGGCAUGAGAGUGUGAUGUUGACCUGCUGAAACCAAAAACAGUCUUGUGCAGGAGCAGAAUCAGACUCAUUUUCCUCCUCCCAACAUUGCUGCUAGAGUGAGCAUACCCUUGCCUAUCGCGGGUUUGAAACUUUUAAGAAAACUGAGGCGGGUAGAACAGCAGAAGCAUAUAUUCGUUAAACUUGUUUACAUGGAUUAUGUGUAUUGUAUUGUGUUCUACAUGGGUUACUUGUUUACUUGGUGCGAACCCUGCUACUCCGGAUCUACUAGGAAGGAGAGGCAACAGAAAACUCAUGUUCUUGACUAGAGAUGUCAACGAAUCAGGGAAGGCACACUAGGAUAGAAUUUAGACUUCGGUAUGUUCUAUGGAAGCUGGGUCUCGGACCUUUCCUCCAAAAAAGGACAGGAUGGGUUCGGAUUGUUUGAGGGUGUGAUGUAUUAUCCUUGCUGCAACGAGAACAGAAUCAGGCUCGAUUUCCUCCUCAUUUGUGCGAUAGCAAUAGCGCUACUAGAGACUAGAGUGAGCUUACCAUUGCUUAUCGUGGGUUUAAAACCUUUAAAUACAAAGAAAACAGAGGAACAUGUAACAGCGGAAGUAUAAAUAUUUUCGUUAAACUUGUUUGCAUGUGGUGGGUUAUGUGUGUUAUGCAGAACUAUAAGAAAAUGUCCAUAUUUAUUUCUCUUUCUAGUUACUAAUAACAAAUCCUCAAACUUGCUGUGAUUACCAGAUUGUGGCACACAAGUGUGGCAGCCGGUGGUGCUCCGUGUCAUCUCUGACCAAGGUUUUGGAUGCUAGAUCUAUUUUUGGAGGGGAUUAGAAUUCGUGAUAACAGCGCCUUUUAACGGUCGGUCGUGCUCCGUGUCGCAGACGGGAUUUAUGAUAAAAUUAUGAGUUGUUUUUCUUGUAAAAUUAUUAUGUAUCUGUUUUUUGGCGAGAAAAAAAAUAUUAUGUAUCAAACCUAUGGGAUUCCAUAAAUGCAUCCAUAAUGCAGUAGACCAAACUAUCUCUCCUAAUAAGGGGCGGCUAGCUAUAGGGAAUUGUUGAUCGACUUGUUGAUGUGCCGAGGCCUCCUAAACCUAGAACACAAGUUUUUGUUUCGGAUACUCAUUCCCUUGCAUCGACUCUUGGCCUAUGAAAACUCUAUUGAAACAUGAGCUCCAUAUCCACCGUCUUAACUAAAACCUAUAUAUAGGCAAUGGAAUUGAAACAUGCGACUUAUAUAUGAUAUAGUCGCGAGUGGUUGGCAUACAUGCGACUCAUAUGCAGAAUAUAUAGUGGUUGCUUUAUGAUAGUAAUGUAAAAAACAAAUAAUUGCUGGGAAUUGUAUUGCUAGAUUCAAUUGAACGGAGGGGCACGGUAUCUAUAAGUGCAGAUGCUCUGCGCAAUAUAUUACAACUGAAGGACACAGGGAUCACUACGUCCCUAAGAUACGUAGACAAGGAAUCCUAAGUCAUUUUUAAUAAAAAUAUUAUUUGUUAUAAAUAUGUAUGGUAUUCACAGCUCUCCUAAUACAUAUAUCGAUUUAAGAUUCACAUUUUGUUUCAAAGCUAAGAAACACUUGUUGGCAUUUCAAGCUAGACAACUACUCCCACUGUCCCGAUUCAAGUGUCGCGAGGGACAAAAAAAAUUAAAUUAAACACCAUUUUGCAGUUACACCCUUUACAUUUCAAACCCGAUACAAUUCUAGACCCUGGCGAUCCCCUCCUACUUCGCGGCCUCGUGAGCUCAUCUCGUCGCGCCUCCACAGCUCGCGGCCUACCACCGCCUCCUUACUCCGUCCUCCCGUGCCGCCUCCUAUUUUUGUGGUUAAAUAGCUUUGCAGAAGGUAUGUCAAGACAAAAAUGUCUCUGAACUUUGAAGUAAGACAAGUUUGGCGAACUCUUGCCUUGGAGUAUUUUUGUGGUUACACAUUAAAACAGAGAAGAUGCGCAGUGACGUGGUAUAGAGUAUUCGAAUGUCACUCACGUUUUCAUAGGCUGUAGCUUCUUAACUUUCUCGCGAGCUUCGUUUUCAGUCAAAUCAACCUGUAUUUGUGGUCAGACCGAAAUUCAGAAAUCAAUCUGCAACUGAUUCAGAAAUUCAAUACUCUGCAUGUUCACUACCAGGAUAAUCAAGUUUUUCUUUCAUAGUCUGAGCCUGCAGUAUCAAAAUACCAUGAGAGAACUAGUUUUCCUCCUUGGAAAAACUAGUAAAUGUGCACGUGCAUGCACGUCCCUAAAUUUUAAAACAUAUCUUUAGAAUCUUAUUUUAAGUAAGUUAAUUUUAUUCAAGUCCAAAGUUUGCUUAAAACUUAGAACCUUGACUGAAAUGGCCAUGUGUGUGUAUAUGUGAUCGGCAGUAAAACAACAGUGACAAGAUACACCGAUCAAUAAUGAGAGGCAAUACCAAGACCCUGGAUAUCAUAUUCAUCAACAACACAUUGUGAACAAAGAAGUCUUAUUACCAGGUUCCGCAAAUUCAACAAGGGGAGGUAAAAGAGAUGAUAUAUAACCAUCGUUUCAGCACAUUGCAUAAGACCGAAUACUCGAUUAUACAAAAAUAACAAAUAUGAUGACCACAACUUUCUUAAUUUCCAUACAACACAAUUGCCACCGUUCCUUUUGUCACAAUUUAUGAUCUUAUCUGAAUUCCCCGUGACGCCGCAAUCCCCGUCAGCAAUCCCCUUGUCUCACACACAGCUACCACGCCAUAUUCUUACCAUGUGCUGUCCAGAACUGUUAGUGGUGUGUGUAAGAUCUUUCUUUUUCACUUCUUUUUGGAAUUUAAUUGCUAAUAAAACUGCAAUUGGUGUAUACCUUGAGCACAAAGAGUGUGACACUCAACACCUAGAACCAAAGAGUAGGCCAAGCAAACAAUCUGCUCGGGCAAAAUAACAAUCUUCUUUGAGCUGACAUUCCCUAAAAAAGAUGAGGCACGAACAAGUGGAGACAAGUACUCCCUCCGUCCCAUAUUAAGUGUCGAAAUAUUACAUGAAUCUAGACGCUUUUUAGGCAUAAAUACAUCCAUAUUUGGACAAAUUUGAGACACUUAAUAUGGGAUGGAGGGAGUAGAACAGAGCCAUGACCAAACCGACUCACCUUGCCGCCGGCGCUGCCCCCUUUGGAUGCUGCCACCGGCUCCUGGAUUGUCACCGGCCAAAAAUAAAAACAGAAGAUUUGUUAUGUUCCGUUGUAAACCAAACUCGAGUUGUUCUCUAAUAAAGGAAAGAGAAAAAACAGCCGCAUGUUUGAGAUAAAUACAUCAGGUUAUCAGCACCCAGAAACAUAAUUAUUGAUGUUCUAACUUGAACACUAAGGAAAAUGAGUUGCCCAUAUUUAAAAGAACUUAGAUGUAUCUCUUUCGCGAUCUUAAGUAACACUUGAUGUAAAAGAAAAGCCACCAGAUUGUACGGGUACGUUUACAGGAACCAGAAGUGUCAAAAAUAUGUUGUACUGACAGUCAGAACUUUGUUAAGAUUUUAAUCUUCUCCGUAGAACAUCUCCUCUUUUAGGACAGACCAGGUGUGGAAGCGACCUAUGUUCAACCACAGGGGGGAGUAUAUUGCAACAAGAACAAAAUUGGAAAGCUACCUAGCUAUUUUGUAUUUCCAGGAGUUUUGCUACCACGACCUGUAUUUACCUGUGAAACUGAAUCUUUUUUGGAGUUAGAACAUGAACUGCCACUGUUACCUAUACACCAAAUAUAUAAAGCAUAAAUGACUCGUCCCUAAAAACUAAAUGGAUGCCACAAAGCAAGUAUUAGAUUAGUAAUUAAUAGACCAACAUGCUUCAGUUUGGGUAGCAGCAUUGCUAGGAUCCCAUCCCUUUGAAAUAUUGUGUAAAAGAUCGAUUUCCACAUCAUAUGACAUGUUCACAUGCAUACUUUAUAUAGUAAGAAUAGUAGGAUCGUAUUUGUAGGCCUCAUUUGUGAUUGUGUUUUCCUUGUAAGAACAGCCUAAACAAAGAAAACAAAUGCACAGUAAUGAAACUCGAGAGCAAUUGCUAGGACUACAAAAUUCAGGGAUGCCAAACUAAAAAUUAGGAGUAACAUUUUACUGCUACUUCUAUCCAUUCAAUGUACUGUGAAUAUAAUUGAGUUUCAUUGCUUGCGAUCAGCAUGAUAAAUAUCAGAAAUCGAUUCUCAAAUGCUAUUUGCGCCGGUAAAAAAACUUACCUCAACAAAGGCCUUGUAGUAGCUCUUAAUUGAUUGCCAAAGUAAGAUCUAACAAGAACUACAUCAAACCCAUGGCCAUGGCAUAAAUACGCUACUAAAACUCUAAAAGGCGGUAGAUUGCUUGACGACCUAACAAGAAUAGGGCAACAUCGGCCACGCAUUUCGUUCAGAAUACAGGAAGCAGUACCCAAAUCGAGAGAGCGCAGAAGCUUACGUUGUGGUGAGUCCCCUUGUACAUCCUGCCGGGGUUCCCGAGCCUGACGAAAAGCCACGGCUUCUGGUCCCCAACAGCAGCGGUGGCCGAAGAAGAGGAGGAAGCGUCGGUGGCGCUGCAAGCCGGGGCUGGGAGGGGCUUCGAUGUUGCGCCGGAGAUGGCAGUGGCGAAGGAGGGAGCGGCGGUCUUCGACGUCGUGGCGCGCGGGCCGACACGACGGCUGGUAACGAAGGACGAGCGCGGCCAGUGCGCCGUGGCGCGCGACAGCGGCGCGGCGCUCCGGGGAUGCGAGGGCGGGGCUGGAGGGCGGCGACGGCGUCAUGGGGCGGGAGGGCGGCGGGGCUGCGAGCCUACGACGGGAGGUAACGGGGUAGAAGACUCGUUUUGAAGCGAUUAACGGGGUAUAAUUGCGGUUUUUUCCCUCUGCAGGCGCUAAACCAGCGUCUUUGAGGUGCUAAACCAGCAUCUUUGAGGGAAUAUUCUCCUGCCAGGCGGACUGUCAGUUAAGUUCGUGUCUUUAUAAGCAGUAGAGAUAGAGAUAGAGAUAAAGAAGAGAUAGAGAUUAGGGGAAUUUGCAGAAAGAGGAAAGGUCUGGAUCUCUCGAGGAUUGAAGGAGGACACUUCGAGGUUUAUCAAGGUCAUUGUGUGUUUGUCGCUCGACCUUACACAGAAGGUUCAAGUGGGGUGAGCUGAAGCGUCACACUUGGACCGUGAAGCCUCUGCUGAAGCAAGCUAAUAAUGUUGCAAGAUUAAAGUUCUGCAUGUCCAUGCUUGAUGAGAAUUGGAUCACAACUCUCAAUCCGAUCUUCAACGAUAUGACAAACAUGUUCCACAUCAAUGAGAAGUGGUUCGAUUGAGACAAUGUCUAUGCCAGCACCUGCAUCUAGGACUAGAUGUUGAUUUCCACAUGCCUCCUUUUCCCAAUAUAUGUCGUCACAUGAACUCUCGCAUGAACAACCUAGCUAGACAGUGCGUUCUUUUCUCCAUGUAGUCGUCUGAGUCCACUAUAUAUUGUCAUUUUGUCAAUGGAAGUUAUAUUGAUCAAUGCAUGGGAUUUUGGCACGUGGCUGUGAAAGCUUGCAUAUAUAUUUUGCAGUCAUAAGUUAGUCCACACACGUAUAUCAUUAACCUGUCACUGCAAGCAUAAAACUCUGGAGAAAUUUUUUUAGGGCCGGCAUGCCUAAAUGCGGCAUCUCUAGCUAGCAGAAUGGCAUGUGAUCCAAACUCGUCUCGGGUCGAUGUUUUUUAUGAGAAUAGGAGGAAGCAGGAACCAAAACUGAACACAUCCACUUCGGACCAAAUUUGUUCGAAUGAUCAAUUUCUUAUCCGGAAUCAAAUCUGGCGGCUCCAAGACGCCACAAGACUUUCUAGCUGAGCUGACGGGCAGAGGCGUGGGGAACCAGGUCGUCAUGCCGCGCCCCCCAUACACCAUUAUGGCUUGCUGUCCACGACAUACGCGGUCCAUACAUUCUCCAAGAACAGUAGCAGGCCUGUGCAAAGGACGAGGAUUAGUAGCCUUUGAUGCAACUCUUGCAACUAGUUUUUGUACGUAGUCUGUUCUGUGUUUGCUUAAAAAUUUCGAUGUUCCCAUUUAAGGUUGGUUCUUUUUGAAUUAAAUCAUACUGCAAGAUUGUCUUUUCGUUGCCCAUAAGUUCGCAACCAAAUUAGUCAAUGUUUGCCGUGCUUCAUUAUCGAUCAUUUUGUGUCCAGCUGAAAAGAAUAAUGCACGUUGUGUUUCCUCCUCAUCACAUACACCCAUGUGGACCGGAGUAUGUCAAUGAUGGAGCUACUGACUCUUGAAACGAACGAAAGACAUUAGACUGAAGCGUCAUAUAUCUUGGAACUGCAGCAUCAGAUCUUUUUUGCAUCGCAGUAAAUUUUGUUCUUUCUACCCAUUUUGAAUGCUUCAACCUGAUUGCUAUCUCAUAUCACCUAUUUUAACGGUAUAAGAAUUCCCCUUUCGGAAUUUUUAAUUUGUGCUCCUACAUAUGUCGUGUUCGAUGUUCAAAUUUUAGAUGUGAGUUGAUUAUGUCUAAAAGUUUAUAUACAUUUUUUUCCGAGUUAUUUAUAAAUUUGUGCAGCGGAUUGCACAAGAAAGGUGGAUUGUACUCAGUACGCCCCAAGAACUUUUUGCGGUGCUAUAUUUGUAAUGCCGGAUGAACUUGUGAACGAUGUUCUUGACUUUUAUUGAUUCGAUGUAGAUAAGUUUGAGAAAAGUUACAAUGUGGACAAUGUAGUGCCAUCGUUUCUGUUACUGCUGUCCGUUUCCAGGUGCCAGAGGAAGAAACUGCCCCUGCUGGUGUGUCCGGCCGUCCCAAUUUCAACCCUGAUCCAUGGAUGCAUGCAGGCCUUCACCGGUUUUGGUGACGAGCCCAAUGUGUACCUAGCGUCUUUAUACAGAAAUGAUAGCUGGGUUUUGUGACGAGCUAGUGCAUGCUCAUGUGCCAUCCCAAGUCCAUAUAUAGAUCUCCACCAGUUGAUUUUCGAAAAUGUCCGUGUAAAUAUUCUCGACACGAAUCAGGAGCCUCGGUUAAACAGUUCUGUAUAUAUAUGCAGGAGGAUCUCUGUGAAUUGACACGGGGACAAGAAUUUUAUAGACCGAUGUCGAACAGCAGAACAUAAUUGUAGAUAUAUCUUGGCGAUGAAACGAUUAUACAUGGGACCAUACAUACUAGGCAUGAGAGGCACCAGGAGCUCAACUUGAGCACGCAAGACUGCAUCACAAACCGCUAUUUUGUUCGCAUUUCUCUAUGAUGCCUGCCAAGGGCGCGUGCGGCAAUGCAGAGAUGCGUUGGAAGCUGAAGCAAGCGCAUGCCUGGAUGGCCUGAUGACCCUCCGCAAUCGGCUGUUCCUGGAAAUUCAAGUGGAGAGCAACUACCAGGAGAUAACCACAGGAGUACAUUCAGUACAUGGCGAUCCAAUCCAGCUGUGCUUCGUUAUCAGAGAGCUAGAGAUUUUAAAACUAGUUGGAUGCAAUUCUCUUGCCCUCUCUGCUAGGGAGGAAAGGGCUCUCGAAUGGCUCGAUGACACCGUGUCUAGUCUUGAGUGUAAUAUGUGUUACACUACAGGUUGUGUAAUAUGUGUUACUACCAGUUAAUGGAAGGCCUUACCAUAAAAUAAAAUAAGAAUGUGUCGAAGAGAUUUUGACAUUGAACGAUGUUCCGCGUUAGGCGGAGCACUAAAUGGAGCAAUUUUCGGUGCUUCGGAGGUAUCACUUGUACCUCCUCACCUUUAAAGAGUAGCUUCUAAGAUCCACCGUUGGUUGAAACAGGGAUAAAGGCUAUACAUUUUUUUUAUCAAUGUUUCAUUACUACCCCAUUCGUUGAACGCCAGAGUUAAAGACAGGACUCUAAGAUAGCAACAUCGACUACUGGGCUCGUUGGUGCCGCAACUGAUCGGUCCUGCAGCAUCUAUCUUCACAAGCAAGCAGUUAAUCUAUACAGACACAAGUUCAAGUACAAAUUAAUCACAUGAAUCCAUGGCUAGUUCUGGCAAAAACUGAGAGUAACGGAGGGGACACAAUAGAAAAGCUCAUCAAAUCAGGUCAGAUCUCAUCAUUACUCUAUAUGUUGUUACUUCUGUUACUCUUCGAAACAGGUUUCUCGUGGUGGACUAGGCAGUGCAAGCAGUUACCCUCCGUUAACAGCCAUGAGAGGGACAUCCUUUACCAUCCAACUGCUUAACAGCUGGUUUCAAUGGAUCCAUCUUGCAAAUCCGUCUUUGAACCAUCGUACGGUUGAUUGAGUCAGUAGGCCGUGCCGACACUAGUUGCCCACCCGAUGCUAUUCUUCCUCGACUUGUUGAUGUCUGGAUGCCUCCUAACCCUAGUAGACAAGGUUUUUGUUUCGGAUACUCAUCCUCUUCCAUUGAGUCUUGGCUUAUGAAAGUUCUAUUGAAACAUGAGCUUAAUAUCCACUGUCUUAGCUAAAACUUAUAGGCUAGGCAAUGGAAUCCAAACAUGGUAUUAACUUAUGAGGUCUAAUUCAAUACACCCCCCUCCCCAAACUUAAAGGGUAGUCUUUUCACGUUUUCUUUUUUCCUCCUAUUCUUUCUUUCUUCCUCCCUCCUUUCUCUCUCGCAAGGUAUCCUCUGCAUCAAGAACUUUUUUCGACGAUCCCUCCGGUGAGAAUGUUCGAUUGUGUCUUCGACAAUGCUUUUCAUCACGAUCCAACGGUGAAAUCUCCGGCCAAUACCAAAAUACUAAGUGUUGUUCGGAUUUCUUGCGGCCCUGCAUGAUAGCACGAUGCUUUUUCGACGAUCCCUCCGGUGAGAAUGUUCGGAUUGUGUCUUCGACAAUGCUUUUCAUCACGAUCCAACGGUGAAAUCUCCGGCCAAUACCAAAAUACUAAGUGUUGUUCGGAUUUCUUGCGGCCCUGCAUGAUAGCACGAUGUUAACAGGUUUCCCGCUGAUUCAAACAAUGUUUCAAUGAUCCCUUCGGUGAGACUGUGAGGAAUUUUGUGUACUAUGACAUUGUGAAAUUUCAUUGCGAUCCAACGGUGGAAUCUCUGGAAAAAUUCAAAAUACUUAGGGUUAUUUGGAUUUCUCGCGACCGUGCGGGACAGCACGAACAUCCGACUUAAUCGAAUAUGUCCCGAUUCCUCGAGAAGUGUUUUGCCGAUCCCUUCGGUGGGCUUGUGCGAAAUUUUAUCUACUACGACAAUGUAAAAUUUCAUCACGAUCCAACGGUGGAAUUUCCGGAAAGAUUCGAAACACCGAGUGCUGUUUCGAAUUCUCGCGGCCGUGCGGGACAGCACGAACAUCCGACUUGUUCGCCUGUUUCCCGCUGGCUCAAGAAAUAUUUCGUCGAGCCCUUCAGUGAGAUUGUGUGGAAUUGUGCGUACCACUAUAGAGUGAAAUUUCAUGACAAUCCAACGGUGAAAUCUCUAAAAAAAUUGAAAACAUCGAGUGUUGUUCGAAGACAUAUGGAAAUGAUAAAAGAAAAUAUUGUUUAAUAUCCAUUGUGUCCUUUUUUAUGAAAGGGUACGGAUUAAUCUGAACCGUCUUUGUGUUUCUUUUUAGAGGAGGGGGGUUGUAUUGUAUCAGAAGUGUUAACUUAUAUAUGAUAUACUUGCGAGUGGUUGGCAUACACAUGACUUACAUAUGCAAAAUAGUGGGUGCUUUAUGAUAGUAGAAUGUAAAGACCAAACAAUUUGUGGGAAUCGUAUUGCUUUAUUCAAAUGAACAGCGGGGUACAGUAUUUAUAAGUGCACAAUUAAAUCUGAAGCACACGGGGAUCUCUAUGUCCCUAAGAUACGUACGCAAGGAGUCCUAAGUCAUUUUCAAUAAAACAUUAUUUGACUUCAGAAUGUAUGGUAUACGCAGCUCUUCCUUAGUACAUGUAUCGACUUAAGAUUCACAUUUUGUUUCAAAGCUAGGAAAUACUUGUCGGUCUACAAUUUAGCUAGACAACUAUAAUUUACACCUAAUUUGUUUCGUCUACUAUUUCCUUAAUGGAUAUUUACGGUUCAAAUUUCCAAAAUAGUGGCAUAAUAAUCAGAGGUACAAUUGUGUUUCCACUUGUGUUUCUUACAUGGGUCUUGCUUCACGCGUAAAUUCCUAGAAUGUCACACGAAUCAGGGAGUUUCGAUUUCUGAUAUCUGGCUGUACAUGACCAGGGUACACCUGUGUUGCCCGCUAGCGUUAAGGUGAUAGCGUACCCUAUCUACCUUACCAAAGUUAUAGCGUACAUCUACCACGUGUUGUUCAAGUUUAAGAAGGCCAACAGAUGCAGGGAACGAUGAAAAUGGAAACAUGUGCCUGGAUACUCAUUUGCACCUAUAGCAUGAGUUCAGAUCUCAGAGAUAAACGUAACUAACACUCUUCUUUUCCCCUUCACAGUUCACACACACAACCCGAAGACGAUAAAUAGCAAGGUAAAAUCUCAGAAGCAAGCUAUAGAGUACUAGACAGAACUAGCCAGAGCUAGCUAGACUAGUAGGGAUGGCAAUGGGUACCUAUUACCCGCGUACCCGGCGGGUAAAUCUCCAUUAGGAUACGGGUUUGGGCUAAAAUUCACUACUAGAUAUCACAUUUUAGCUGAGGGGGAAAUCACCGUCGGCUAACAGUUUAACCGACGGUAAACCGUCGGCUAUGCGGCGUUAGCCAUUACUUUAAUAGCCGACGGUACCGUCGGGUAUUGUAUUAGCCUACAGUAAUUAUCCGACGGUUGCCCGCUCGGUCAUGUGACUCUGAUAGCCGACCGUGUCCCGUCGAAUAUGUAUUGGCCAACGGUUAUUUCUCACCGUCAACAUGUUUAAGAGUUGACGGUACGUUUACUGUCAAUUAGUAUAAUCGCCAAGGGUACGCACACACCGACGGGGAUACUUAUAAUUGAGUGGAGUCCAGCACCUUCAGUUUGUAAUAUAGCCGACGGUCCAAAGUUCCAAUCGACCUAUCAUAUAUAUGAGAGGUUUUGCACUGUUGGGCAUCGGUACCCCCUCGGGAUUUCUUUGGACAAGGGAUGUUGAACAAUCUAGAAAUAUACAAUUUAAAUUCUAUCUAUUGCGAUCACAUACGAUAUAAUUAAUUUUGAAACUUCAUACAUCUAUUAUGUGUUUUAAUUAUUACUAGGCAACAUUACAAGUUAAAUAUUUUUGACAUCUUUUUAACCCGUGGGUACAUAAAUGGGAAAAACUUCAUACCCAUCGGAUAUAGCGGGUACGGGUAUGGGAACACAUAACCCAUACCCGUGUACCCAUUUACCCAUAUAAUAAACUCACAUAGGGGUGAGAUCUUGGCAGAGAAGAGAGACUAACGAUGUAUUGCAGCUUUCAUCUUUAUGUCUUGCCAUUUUAUCAAUAAAUUGUCUUUUUAUGUGUUAUUGUUGUUUAUAAUGUGCUAAUAUAGUACUCAAGUUGCUGCGUUUUCGAGAAAUAUGAUGUCGUUUCUAAAGACCAUGUUAUUGUUUAUCAAAUUUUAUUAUGGGUAGUUUUACCUGCGGGUACCGGUCUACCUGACGGGUAACGGGUAUGGGAAAAGUUGUACCCGUUGCCGGGUAUGGAUACGGGUAACGGGUAAGCUCAAAUCGAGCGGGUAAGGGUAUGGGAAGGCUCCACCCAUACCCAUAUCCCCCGGGUGCCAUCCCUAAGCUAGAGUAGUAAAUUACUCCCUUACACGAUACAUGUGAAACCGUUUGAGAAUAGGGGGCAGAGGGAAUGCUCAAUGCUGGAGGGCUGAGUUUUGUUUCCUCAUCACAUACUCUCAUGCUGGCCAAUGUGUUGUCUAUAGUAUGUCAAUGAUGGAGCUGUUAAAACAAACAUCCCAAUGCAGAUCAUGGGAGGAGUUAGAGGCAGAGUCAAUCUUUGCACAACAAGAAACUCUCGGUUGCCGGGAAUUGGAGGAAUAGUACAACAUCGGUGUCACAAUGACAUUAUGAGAAAGUUGUUUUAAACUCACGUGGCAUGUAAUCAGUUGUACAUUCAUUUAAAAAGCGCAGAAACUAGAUUUUUUUUUAUUUUUUAAAAACAAUGUGCUCCCCCAAUCGAUCUCCAAUAAAGAAACUGCCACGGAGUUAUUACAGAUCAAAGUAACUCUAAAGCUAAAGAGAAACAGAUGCUGAAAAGUAUACGCUGCACAGCAGCACACGGAUAAAACGACAUCAACUUAGCUCGAGAAUGUUUUAUGUAUAACUUGUGUGGAAGAAGUUAAUUUUUUUCUCUAACAUUCCUAGUUAGGCAGCACUGACUAAUUAAUUACCAGCUAAUUCAAAGGGCAAAAAAAAAUGAAAUUUGUGCACCUUAUAACUUUAUGUCAACGAAAGCUUGUUGCAAGCAUGUGCAGUUUGUUUAUUGAAUCAAUAAAGUCUAAUGUUUCUCAAAAAAUAAAAUUAAUGGUGUGUUUCAAAGUAUAUGAGGAAUUCCUAAUGCUCCAUCAUGCAUGCACCUUAUCUAAAGCAUGGUAAGUAAGAAAAUAUGUGACAUGGAGUAGCCCGCGCAAUUUGCUCUUUCUUUUUUCUUGUAUGUAGUUUCAGUAAUAUAUUCUAUGCUAUAAUACAUUGUCAAAAUAUUGUCCUAUGAUAUUUUUUUGAGAAUAAGCAUUCAACAGAGGUAAAUCGCCGAUAUUGGACAUGGUAUUUCGGCUCCCGGCUCCAGGAAGCCCAUUAUUUUGCAGUACUAUUUUCUCAAUAAAUGUGCCGGCUAUUGGGUAGGAAUACUGGGCCGGCCCAACUCCGAACAGCACGCGGGCGUUGCAUGGGUAGGGCAGGGAGGCUCCGCCGCGUUCGUCCCGCCGGCGGGCGACGGCAGCAUCAGCCAGCGGGAAAAAAUCGCCGCCAGCGUCCUUCGGAUCUGCUGUCUCGCCGCUCCAUCCGUCUCGAGGUAGCCGCUCUAGUUCCACGCACACCAUGUGUCAUCCUGCUCUCGUUGAGUUUCAUUACUCCAGUUAAUGCUGGCAUGCAGGAUCCAAUUCAAUUCAAGGACUAAGAAAGUAGCUACCUGCAUUCAUACUCGGAGGAAACGAAGGACGAGACAUCCUCUUCUUGUUUAUUGAUUCCACAGAAAAUUCAAUCUAGGUUAUAUAAAACUGCAGGUCCAUGCACAAACUGGCUAGGCUAUAGCUUAAACAAUGAUCUAUAGCAGAUAGCAUUUGCAUGUAUAGUCCGGAAAGUGCUACACCUGCUAUUCCGGAUCUAGUAGGAAGGAGAGGCACCAGGAAAAUUGAGUUCUUGACUAGAAAUGACAACAAAUCAGGGAAGACACUAGGAUAGAGUUCAGACUUUGUUGUGUUCUAUGAAAGCUGGGCCUCAGACCUUUCAUCCAAAACAGGGAAGUCAGAGUUCGGAUUGUUUGCGAGUGUGAUCCACUAUGCAGGAGCAGAACAGACUCAAUUUCCUCCCCAUUUGCGCGAUAGCAAUAGCAAUAGUGCUGCUAGAGUGAGCUUAAUUACCCAUGCUUACCGUGGGUUUGGAACCUUUAGAUACAAAGAAAACAGAGCAACAUGUAAUGGCAGAAGCAUAUUUUUGUUAAACUUGUUUACAUGGGCUAUAUAUUUGUGUUGUGCUGUAAACUAUAUAUGUAAGGAAAUGGUCAUAUCUAUUUUCCUUUCUUGUUAAUAACAAAUCCUCAAACUUGCUAUGAUGAUCAGGUUGUGGAACACAAGUGUGGCAUCUGGAGCCACACCUGUCUUGGCCUUUUACCGUCCGGUCACGGUUCGUCUCGGACAGGAUUUCCGAUAAAAUUUUGAUUUUUUUCUUUUAAAACUAUUAUGUAUGGAGCCUAUGUGGUUCCAUAAAUUAAAGCAUGGUGCAGUAAACAAAACUGUCUCUCCUAAUAAGGGGUCAUAGUUUUCAACACCGUUCGUAUCCAUCCUUAGCUUUAAAAAGAAUUAAGAAAUGGGAAAGAAAUCUUAAUUUUGUAAACAGUAAAUGAUGUCCCCACCAUUCUUAGACUGAGUUAUAGUACUAGUGUUCAAUACAUGUCCUUUCUUAUGCAUACACCUCACGUCAGUGCCGAUAAAUACCUCUUUAUAGUUCCAUUACUUCAUUAUCUAGAAAAAAUGUAAUUAUCCCGUGCCUACCCCCGAUUCGAUUGAAAGGAGUAGCUGGUUACAUAUAUCUCUAUGACUGCAUUCUUGGGGCAAAUAAAAAUGAGUGCUCCGUAUCUUUUUUUCAUGUUCUUAGAAAAUUUUAGACUCUUCACAGUUCACACUAUUGCAGAUAUGCAUUUGCUGAGGAAUGAACAUAGCAUGUGCACACAUGAGUGAAUUAACAAAGAUCUAUUAGAAGGAGAGGCACCAGAAACUUCUGCUCUAGACUAAAAUGAGGACGGCUUGGAACAUAUGUGUUCCAUUCAAAAAGAAAGGAAAUGAGGAUGGCUACAAAAUAAAGAACAAGAGUAAGGACAUUAUCAUCCUCUAGGUUGCCCUCCUUGGGCUCUCGAAGGGUUGUUGCAUUGCGCACAUUAGGAUCAAAUACUUUCUCAUGUUGCUACGGUCUGCCUAUUCAGGUUGAACGAAUCCUUAGAAGAUCCUCUAUUGUCUCCCAUCAGUUCUUUGCAUCUCGAUCAAUGAUUUCAUCUACGGAGGUUAAUUGUAGGGAUGUGCAGUUCAGCUCAGCAGUGACCUUUAGCCAUGCAUUCCUUCUCUCCCAUCUGCUCCUCACAGUAUCGGAAACAUGGAAGGAAUGCAACAAGCGUAUGUUCCAAAAUAAGCCUCUUCAUCCAGAAAUGUUAUCGUCACUAUCAAGGAGCAAGAGGCCCUUUGGGAUCAUGCUGGACGAGGGCUGGGUGAACUAUAGUUUCAAGAUCGGACGAUGUUCCUUGAAUUUGUUCUGCAUGCCUAAUCUUUCCUUGAAUUUAGUUUGGAAGGGUUUCAUGGGAUCCAAGAGAUCUAUGUACAACCGUAGAUGCAUGGUAGUAUAAGUAUUUGCAACCGAUGGAAGAAGUUGUACCUUUGUGCAACCACUGCCACAAUGCCAUUUACCUAGGGUUGUUGGGUACGCACGUUCUGCCUGCAGGUACCCCUUGCUGAUCUCUAAGUAUCUAUAUACUUUAUUGCUGCAUCGAUCUGUGAUAAAUAGCAACCAUUUGCAUACAUAUACAUGGACUUGAUGUAUGGAGCAAAUAAAUAGCAGGACUUACAUAUUUUUCCGACAAAAAUCUGCAAGGAAAUCACCACAAUACAAAAGGAUAUUAACCGUGGCCGGUGUUUGGGUUGCACAUCCACUCUCACGACGAAGGGAGCUCACAUAUUGUGUCUCAGCGUGUAAAAAAUUCUACCCACGCAGUUUGAUGUAUCACUGCAGAUCAAUGCAUGGCUAAAGCAAUGAUAGCAGGUACUCCCUCUGAUCCAAAAUUCUUGUCAUGAUUUCAGUUCAAAUUUGUACUAAAACCACGACGACAAUUUAGGAUCGGAGGGAGCAGCAGCGAUUUGCUAGGAAGAGGAGGCACCGGAAACUUUAUGUCCCACACUAGAAUUUACUAUGGCUCAAUUAUUCUCCAUCUUACUUCUGAUCUUUGCAAUGUGUGAGCAAUGGGUACGCUUCUGUGGGCUGAGUUCCAAUGCCGUAUGUGCUACAAAAUAAGAUCGUCAUAUUAUUGGUUAGGUCACCUCUUCUCUUAAUCUUCGUUUGCUAAUUAAUAUUGAUGACGUUUUAUUUUUGUUCUAAGUCAAACGUCUUUAAGUUUGACCUAGUUAAUAGAAAAAUAUACGAAUAUCAAAUCAGUAUACUCCUAAAAAAAAUCAUGAAGGAUCUAAUAAAACCAAUUUAGAGUUGGGGAAAAGCAAAUCUACAUGUAUCAGUGACCGCUUGGCAUAUCCAGACCGCACCAUUGCGCUUUGAGAUGUGCAGAACAAGUUGAGAGAUAUGCUCCCAGGUGGGGUUUGCUUUUACCGUACCUAUUUUCACUUGGCGAAAUGUCCCAUCUGAGGUGACUUAGGGGAUGGAUAGAGUAUUGAGCACAUAUCCUUCCAGCACAUUUUACGGCUUUUCGAUCCCCAUCUUCUCUGCUAACUGCGCCACACAGCCAUUCACCGCCCACCUCGAGCCCGAUGUUGCCAAGAUCCAUGGUCCAUGGCGGAUGCAGCUCCGCCUGCAGCUGGAGGGGCUCAGCUGCGGCAGCAAGGUAUCAUCUGGUCUGAAAUUAAUGUACCUAUGGUUCUUUUAUUUUGGUCCUCGGCAGGAUUCACCCCAACAUUUUUUUUUCCGCAGAAACAAUACAGAUGCCAAAUGUCGAUCUGGGUGCGGGAGUACAUAGAGCAAUGGUGGAGUACUCUUGUUCCAGACCGGUCCGCGAGCAGCUCCUCCACGCUUCUUGUCAUUGCCAGAAGAAGCUGGAACAGAAACAGAUCUCGCAAGCAUGGCGAUUGCUCUUCACGACAACAUAUCCGACCUGCAACUUAAGCACCUGACCUAGCCACCGCCCUACGAGAGAAAAUUGGCGGACAUGCCCUCUACGCUCUGAUGGAAGGUGGCAGCAGGGCUCUCUCCUGCGUCGUGGAAAUGGGCCGAUUUUGCGCGCGGAGGAGUUGUCCCUUGCGGGUCGGCCCGGUCCAGCCUCGAGUGGGGCAUCGAAGUGGUCAAAGUGGUUGAUGGCCGAAGGCUCCAGUGUUGAUGCUUGGUGGUCAUUCAAACGCAAUGCUAACCAUUUCACCGCCUGAUGGCCGAUGGCAUGCAUUUGUCUGUAUUUUCUGGGAACGGGGGACUCCUUUUGCAGGUUGCGGGGCGGAAGAUUCUGAAAAAACUAGGCCCCGCCGACACUUGUGGCCCAGUGGAGACUAUUCUUGCUGGUCUUGUUGAUGUCCCGAGGCCUCCUAACCCUAUCUAGUAGAGACAAGGUUGUUGUUUCGGAUACUCAUUCCCUUCUCUCAUUUUCUAAAAAAAAAUCCCUUCUCUUCCCAUUCUCUCUUCGCUUAUGAAAGUUCUAUUUAAGCAAUGAAAAAUAUCCAUGGGUAUUUGAACCCGAGUACCAGGAAAAAACAUAAUAUUUGAUGGAAGAACAAGAGACCCCUUUCGAACAAACCUGUUCUAACACGGAGGUCUUAUAUCUAUGGAUGAAGCUGGGCCAUGUCCGCCUAAUUAUCUUUCCCUGCAUUCCUCUUUGUCUUCAAAACCUAGCCCCUCUUAACUCAUCCCAACAACAGAGAGGAGAGCAGUUAGAGCCCAAGCGAGAUGACCAUUGAACCAGGGGAUUGGAUAUCGGUCAACACGGCCCCGCUCUGGAGCGUCAUGCACAGUGCUACUUUCAAUUUCCUCUUUUUUAUAUUAGUAAAUUAUAAAGCCGUAAUUGAUUUAUUUUCUUAUCAGUUUCAUGCACAUUAUAACUUUAUGUCAACGACAGCUUGUUGCAAGCAUCUGCACUCCGUUUGCUGAAUCAAUAAAGCCAAAUGUUUCUCAAAAAUUAAAAUUGAUGGUCUGCUUCGAAGUGUAUGAGGCAGUCCUAUCAAUGCUCCACCAUGUACCUUAUCUAAAACAUGGAAACUAAGAAAAUAUCUGACAUGGUAUCCAAUUAUACGACGAAACAGAAAUAAUUUGUAUCUUAAUUUAGAUACCACUAUUAGCAUCGCAUCCUAGAAAAUUCAUAAUUUCUGUUUCCCAAAAGAGAUAGCUUGUUUAGAUGCAUAACUAUGAUACAAAAGAUUGUAAAAGUUGUAUCUAAUCAUAUAUAUAAUGUAUAUGAUACAACUCAAGAUUGGUGCAUUGGAAGUGCACUUUGAUGAGCAUUCUGUAAUAGUGUAGACUCUACCUUCGACCUUGAUCCGUUACACGCAAUUUGCGCUUUGUUGUUUCUGUAUGUAGUUUCAGUAAUAUUUUUAUAUGCUACUACAUUAAUUGUCAAAUGUUGUCCUAUCAAAAAAAUGGUGUAGAUCGAUCUAUAUUUCUUCCUGACUAAUUUAUACCUUACAAUUGUUUUUUGUUUCUGUAUAGCCAAAACUAAUUUGGACCAUACGUUCACUACUCCAGAAAACCCCUCCAGAGGCGGUCAAAAAAUGGGGUUGGUAGCGGUGAUCACGCCCGUCACCAACUCUGCGUCACUGGAGAUUUCGGCACCGGUGGCAGGUAAAAUACCCGUCACUGCCGUUCCGAGAUCAACAAUGGCGGGUAAAAUACCCGCCACCGAAUACCCACAAACCGCCACUGUAAAUCCCUCCGGCACCACCCGAAAAGUGCGUGGAGUACAUCAGUGGUGGGCAAAGUACCCGCCACUGGACAAUUUCCAAUGGCGGUCCUGCCUAACCGCCACUACUAUGUGUUCAGUGGCGGUGGUUCUUAACCGCCACUGGUACUAUUUUUUCCCGAAAAAAAAUAAAUGAGUUAUUUAUCUAGGUACAUAAACAGCCACAUGUGAGCCUCAUUUCUACACCAUAGCUUGGCAAGAAGUCCGAUCCCGAUCUUUUGUUUCAUACAUAUAUAUAUCAUGAAGUACAAUGCCAAGAACGCACAUAAUCGUGUAUGAUAUAUAAAUCGAUGUCUGGCAUGUGUAAGGAGGGCUUUAAGCGGAAAUUUGAGGAGGGGCAAGAAUGGCAUGUGAUCCAGAGUUCCAAACCUGUCUCGUUGAUGUUUUUGAUGGGAAUAGAAGGAACCCGGAAUCAAAGCUCAACAAACCGGUUUUGGUCCAAAGCUGUUAGAAUAAUUAAUUUCUUAUCUGGACUCAAAGCUGGCGGCUCGAAGACACCAAACAGCCAACUCGCUUUCACUCUCACCAGUUUUAAAAAUAAAACGCCGAAUCUUAUUUGUGACCGUGCACUCGCUUGUCACACGUGGUGCGCACCGUGAGCUCCGUCCGAUCAAAUCGUGGGGUUGUUUCUCUCCCUGAGCAUUUACUCUUUCAAAUUUUAGUCCGUUCUGAUUUUUCCUUCCGUCCCUCUCUCUCACCUCCUUAUCUCUUCUGUUCUGGAUUUUCUCCUCCAUGGACCUCUCUUGCCUGAUGUGCCCUUGCCGCCGCCGGCUGGCCCCCGCCUCCAUCCCGUGAAGGCCUCCGCCGCCAACUCCCUCCUCCUCAUGAGCCGCCGCCGCCACCUUCCUCCUCCGCGUGAGCCGCCGCUACCUCCGCGAACCAAGGCCGCACCCUCCUCCGUGAGAGCCACGGCCGCCUCCCGCCGCGAACCGAGGCCGCCUCGCUCCUCUGGGUGAGCCGCGGCCGCCUCCCUUCGUGAACCUAGGCCGCCGCUCUCCUCCGCGAGAUCCACCAUCGUCGUCGACCCUGCGACAGCGGUGACGAGCUGCUGCAUCUCUGCAAGGUGGCCAGGCCCCCACGACGGUUCUCGUCCUGUGCCCGGCGCUCCGGGUGCUCGUCUUGAGUGCCAGCUCGCUCUCUGGCGAGUCCGUCCCUGCGAGCUCCGGCACUGACGAGUCUUUCUUCCUGACGAUCGAGGUGCUGGACGUCUCCCCCCAACGGCCCAACGGGUUCAUCGGCUGGCACCCUUCGUUCCCGAGCCAAGCCAGACGCUGCUUGAUGCCUCCAGAAGCAUCGACGCCGCGCUCUGGUCCUCUACCCGUAGUGACAACUUUGAGUUAAGAAUGUCUUCCAUGAAGAGAUCGUCUUAUUUUCUCGGAUGUAAAUUCCAGGUUAAGAGUUACUUUUAGGUUUCACUGGAUGUAGUUUCAACAUAUGCCAAUUACUUAUAUGAGUUCUCUAGAUGUAGUUUUUAUCUUAAGAGUUCUUUCAUGAGUUCACUGGAUGUUGUUUUAAUCUUAAGAGUUACUUUCAUGAUUUUUUAGAUGUAGUUAUGUAAGUACCAAUGAAAUGGGAUCUAACUGGGGUUGCUAUAUAUGGAGCAGCUUGGUCAUAAGGUCUGAAUUGUUUCUUUUGUUUUGGAUAUGAGCUACUAUUUUUGUUGGAUCUGAAAUGGCAUGCUUAAGUUACUUGGUUGUAACUCCACUUACAAGUAUGAUUUGUACUUGUGACAAAAUUUUAAGCCAAUUGAUUUAGUUACUUCCUUACACAUAGUUACUUUCAGCUGCUAGAUCUAGAUGUAAUUAUGUGCUUGUCGGGAACUAACUACUCCUUUAGUCGUCUUGUCCAAUAGAAGUUACUUUUGCAAGCACAAUUGUGAAUAACUCUGCAUCUACUAGAGAGUUAGUGCAAUGGUCUUAGAUGAAAAUUAUACUUUGCCAAGUGGUUAGGUUUAGCAAAUGGGUUUGGUCAUCACUAUUGGAUGUAAAUUUGUAUUGCACUAGAUGUAACUAUAAAUUAUAUUAGCGUUAUGAGGACUAUAUUAUCACAGGAUGUAAGAAACUAACUUAAGUAUUUCCAAUAGUUUUAGAUUUAACUAUGAAUUAUGAUGAUGCUGAAAGGUAUUAUCAGUACUUCAGCACCAAGUAUAUAUUGCAUGCUCAAACACCAUCAACAUUUUUCGAGAAAUGACAAAGCAACCGUCAAAUCCAUGGUGCUGCCCUUCUCAUCCUAAACGAACUUCUUCCUGGUCCUAUAAAGCAUGGAUCUGUCUGCUGUCAGAUCUCAUCUCUCCCAUAUUAUGUGAGGUGAGAUGCAAUGUUAAAAGGUACUAGGUGUAACUAGGUUCUCUAUUUAUGCUGCUGUGAACUAUAUUAGGUUGUUGUGUAUGAAUUUUCCCUUGUUCCUGAAGUUUUUUAAUGCUAUUGCUACAUUUUUGGUUCAGCUCAAGCUUGGGUCAUGUCUGUAUCUAGAUGUCAAUGUGAAGUGGGUUGAUCAAGUUUUGGAGGACGUUGAUAUGUUACUCCAACGAUGUAGUUUUCCUUUACCACAAAGCAAGUUUCUAGGUAGUAUGCAUUCGGUCAUGUCAUUCAUUAAAGCUAAAGCUAUUCAUAGGUUAUUUUUGUGUACAGAAUUUCUAUAGGCUUCAGCUUGUGGUUCCUAAUUAGGUAUGAUGAUACACGUAGCAUGUACCAUUGUUCUCCUUGCAAAGUAAUUCUCUGCCAUAGUUGUGAGUUUUUUUAGUACAUUGUUCAAUAAUUUCCACUGGAUAGGAGUAACCUUCAUCUUGUAUACCCUCAGUUUGCACAAAAAAUAGUUAAGGUAGAACCAAUCUGACCGAAACUCAGAUACAUGUCUGUACAUGACAAAACAAAUUUCAUCCAUCUUAGGCACUUUACCUUGAAGUUAGACAACAAGUUUCUUCCCUACUAGUGUUGCUUUCGAAUGGUUGCAAUUUUUUCCCAAUAUUCUACAUCCUGCCAGUUGCUGCUCUAAUUUUCUAUUGUUCUUAUUUUGUUAACAGGGUGGAUGGAAGGGGGUUUUGCAUCCAUUGAGGUUACUUCCAGACAGGACAGUUACUGCAAUGAAGAGAACAAAUUUCUGCUCUUCUUGGGUUUGUGGAAUGUGUGCCUCAUUGGUUAAAGAGUUGGCAGGACAAGCUUUUUCCCCUUCCAAGUGGAAGAUUUUUGUUUGUCUAUAUAGACCAGUGGAUGCAAUUAUGUUUUCAGUACUUUCUUGGAUUUACAGAAUUAUUUUGAAGCCAACAACAAAUUUUCUAACACACGUAUUGUUUAGUUCUCUUCUCAAUUUAAAUCUGAUGUAUACUGUAAAUAUCAUAUGAGUUAUACUCCAUAGUUGUUUUUCACAUUUUUUAUUACAAUGGUGUUGCUGCCGCAGGGUCACGUACAGGGAACGAGAUGGGAGAUGAAGGGUGACUGCGUGAGCUCUUUCACGCGGAGCCGCGGAGGGAACGGAAGAACGGACCGUGGCCUCCUCACGUCGACGUGUCAGAACGUGGAACAGAGAGCUUUCCUAUUUUGGACCGUCGGAUGUGAGUACCGCAUAAGACUAGGGAGUGCGCGCGCACUCCCUAGACGGUCCCAAAAUAAAAUUCUCUCAUCACUGCAAAAAGAGCGAGGGUGCGGGGCCGGGGGAGACUCCGCUCCGUUCCUCUCGGCAGCGGCAACAUCAGCCAGCGGGAGAUCGUCGCCGCCAUUCUUCGGGUGCUGCUCCAACCGAAUCGAGCUAGCUGCUCUAGCUCCUGCUACUCCAUGUGUCAUCCUGGUCUGGUCUGCCUGGUAGGGAUCCCCAACCCCAGCUAGAUCAAUGUUCUUGUUCGUUGUAACCAUUGCCGAGUUAUGCCCGCGAUACAGUGCAAUUUUUUUCCUAAAACAACCCUGGUCAGGUACUGCACAAGUUUGAAACCUUCUAGAGCUAGCUUAGGCGACUUGCUCUGCAGUUGCCAAAGGAACUAGCAGGCUGUAAUGAAGCUAAACUCUGAAUUUAGUUUUCUGCACAUGAAUUGCACCAGUCCGACUCACAGCGUAUGUAGCUUAGACACAAUAAUAAUCAAUACACUCAGCGAAGUUUUGUCAAGUGGAGCAUGAAUAGACCGUGCAUGUACACUUCGGCCAUGAUACUGUCCAGUGAUUACUUGAUUGCUUUUGCAGGUAUUACGGGAACAUUUAGCAAAUGUAAUGAUCACUCGCACUCGAUAAGACCAUGCAAGUCCGCCACCCGCAUUUACAACUAGAUAUUGAUUCCCACAUGCCUCCUUUUUCCAAUAUAUGUUGCCACAUGAACAACCCAGCUAGAUAAUGUGUUUUCUCCGCCCACAAGUUGGCAACGUACCAUUUCUGGGAAAAGAAAUAAUCAUUGCAGUCCACUCUUGUUAAUGGAGUUAUAUAGAAAUGAAUGACCUGAAUUUUGGCAUCUGACUAUACCACAUGAUCCACAUAUGCCUGCCCACCUAAGAGAGUACUGGGCUUGCAUAUAUAUAGUACUCCCUAUUUUGGGGUAGUAAUGCAUGUAUAUCAUUAACCUGCCGCAAGCACAAAACUUUGGUAAAACUUUCUUAGGGCUGGCAUGCUAACUUGCUGCAAAUCUAGGUACAUAAAUAGUCACAUGUCUAGUAUAAAUCAGUGUCUGGAUGUAAGAGCUUUAAGCAGAAAUUGAGGAGAGAGGGCAGUACUCCGUAGAAUGGCAUGUGAUAUCCAGAGUUCAAAACCUGUCUCGUGUUGAUGUUUUUUUAUGGAAAUAGGAGGAAUCCGGAAUCAAAGUCCAAACCUGUUUGAACAAUUAGUUUCUUAUCCAGAAUCAAAGCUAGCGGCUCCAAGACGCCAUAUGAGUUUCCAUCCGAGGGCAAAUGGCCAGAGGUGUGGGGAGAACCAGCUUGCCAUUAGGCGCUCGCCACAAAUGACAUUGGCUAGGCGUCCACGACAUACCUGACGUGUACACACUCCAACUACAACAACAGGCCUGUCCUGUACUUGAUCCUAGAGACCUUGGGCUUGGUGGAGAGUUGUACGGUCGAGUUCUCCGACGACGGUCAGCAUUUGAAGCAACCGUUCAUAAGAUCCGUCAGCUAUAUACAGAAGCACGUGACCAAAGGAGACGUGGGACACGAAAUACUUACGAAAAUACAGGGGUUUUUCUUUGAGAGAUUUUUUUUUCUUGCACACAAUACUGAGUAUUAAGAAAAAUUGAGAGACAAAAAAAAUACUAAAGUGAGGUCUAAAAGAAGGACGUGAAGCGGUUUGUUGGGCUCUUUAACCUUUAGGGACAAACUAGGAAAGACACAAGUGAAAUCAAAAACGAAGAAUGUGAAGUGGUUUGUUGGGCCCAUUAGGGGACAACUGAGAAGGCCCAACCAACAGUCCAACUCAUUUUCACUCUCACCGCAAAAGAGAGCAAGGUUUACAUAGACUCCGUCGCGUUCCUCUUGCCGGCGGCAGCAUCAGCCAGCGGGAAAUCACCGCUGGCAUUCUUCGGGUCUAUGGGAUCGCCACUCCAACCGAAUCGAGGUAGCGCUCUAGUUCCAUCCACACACCUCAUAUUAGCCUUUGAUGGAACUCUUGCGAGUAUUUUUCUGUAGUGUGAUUUAGUCUGUUCUGUCUUUGCUCGGAAAUCUGUACACGAGACUCAGAUUUCCAUUGUUUCCAUUAAGGUUGGUGCCAUUGGAAAUGAUAUUUUUUGAGGGAAGAUUGGAAAUGAUAUUCAAGCACAAGCUUGGGGAAUUAAUGUAUGCAAGACCCAGAUUCCAACCAUUCCGUGCAAGAUUGUGUUUUAUUUGCCCACAAAGCUUCAUCAUCGAGCAUUUUGUGUUCAGCUGAAAAGAAUUAUUGCACAUGCUUUUUGCUUCCCUUGCAUGGGAUUACUUGUUGUACCUUUGAUACACUAGUAAUCAAUACACUUGGUGAAUUUUAAUGGGCGUGACUAUAUCUCAGUCCACUGUUUCUUAAUCAAAAGGAUUAAAUUUCAGUCGAUCGUGUCAUAACCAUUGGAUUAAUAUAUGGAUACCAUUUUACUCUCCGUUUUCAAUUUUUAGUCUCGAAUCUUAAAACACAGACCAUAUCUAAUGGCUGAUAAAUCGACUUAUCUCUAACUAAAAAUUAGUCGACUUAGAUAUAGCAAAACCGAAUUUUAAUUUGCCGAGGGAAACAUGCAUAGACUGUACAUGUACACUUCAGCCAUGAUAUUAUCCGUUGAUUACUUCAUUGUCUUCUGCAGGUGCUAUGAUAACAGUUGGCGAAUGUAAUAAUCACUCGCACUCAUUGAGACAAUGCCCAUUUACAACUAGAUGUUGAAUCCCACAUGCCUCCUUUUCCCAGUAUAUGUUGCCACAUGAACAUCCUAGCUAGAUAGUGUGUGUUUCUUAUUUCUCCAUAUCAAUUACUAUGUGGUUGUAUCGCUUCAUUUCCAGAAAAAGAAAAUAUAAACAUCGCACUCUACUCUUGUUGUUAAUGGAGUUAUAUAGAAACGAACCACUGGAAUUUUGGCAUCUGCCUACGAUAUGAUCCACAUAUGCCUGCCCAUCUACCAGAGUACCUCUUUUUGUGUCAUAAAUUAAUGUUUGCAUAUCAUUAACCAGCUGCCGCAAGUACAAACUUUGGACAAAAUUUUCUGGGGCCCGACAUGCUUAAUUGCUGCAUAUAUACCUAGAUACAUAAAUAGGCUUUGUGUCGGCCUGAUUUCUACACCAUACCUUGGCAAGAAGUCGAUCCCCAUUUUCUUGAUGCAUAUAUGUACGUAUAUACCAUGAUGUACAAUGCCAAGAACUUUGAUCAGGAGAUCGGGGGUAGUCAUCAAAAUGACAUGCGAUCCAACCCUUGUCUUGGUCGAUGUUUUGAUGGGAAUAGGAAGCAUCCGGAAUCAAAGCUGAAGUGCUGAACACAUUCAUUUCGGUCCAAAUCUGUUAGUGUAGCAGCUAGCUCCAAUGGAAGACCAGAAGCAUACAAAUUCCAGGACUUAUUUCCCCCCCGGGAAUCUGAGUACUCCCUUCAUCCAAGAACAAGAAUAGAAGCAUACAAAUUCUAGGACUCAACCUUACACCUAAGGUUCAAGCUGGGUGAUUUGACACGACAUAGUAUAGUAGCUUGAAGCCUUCGAUGACAGCAGCAAACAAGAUUAAGAUACUAGAGUUAUGUGUCUCGAUGCUUGACGAUGAUGGGUUGACAACUCCUUGCCCUUUCUUCAAGAAAAUGGACAAUAUCGUCCACAUCGAUGAAAAGUGGUUCUACAUGACCCGGGUAAACAAUAACUACUAUUUACUUCCCGAUGAACCUCGACCAUUGCGCACAGUGCAGAAUAAGAACAGCAUUGGGAAAGUUAUGUUUUUGACGACUGUGGCGAAGCCAAGAUUUGGUGAAGGUGGAGAGGUCACAUUCGAUGGAAAGAUAGGCACCUGGGUCUUUGUCCAAGAGACGCCAGCUAAAAAUAAUUCCAAACACAGAGAUAAGGGGACACUUGAACUGAAAUCAGUCAAUGUUAUGAUGUCAUGAGAGUGUACAUUUGCAAGAAGGUCAUUCCAGCGAUCCAGGAUCGGUGGCCAGAUGAGGGUGUAUGUCGCACCAGUGGCACCCGGGGUACCACCGCUGCGCGACGCGUGGGCCCCGUUCCCGAGUCCCCGGGAAGGUUUCACCCCGAGGAGCGUCUAUGAGCAGCCCGGCAAGCUACCAUCCCGGAAGGGGCUAGCGGGGCUUCAGGGAAUAUUUCCACCUGGGCGCCUCCCGGGAAGCUGCUUCCUGGGGGGGGGGGGGGGUGUUCCCGGGUGUGUUGGGCCCAGGCACUUCCCGAGGUCGACUUGCCGGGGCAGGGGGUUCCCGGGCGCAUGCCCCUGCCUCAGGCGCGGGGCCCAGUAGCCAGAUCAACAGCGCCACGAGGACGCGUGGCGGGCGUGGGAUGCACGGUCCCACCAGGGCAAGAAGCAAGGCGCACGGCUCAGUAAAUGAGCCGACCGACGGGUCGUUACCCGUCCGAUCAAAGAAACAGUAGCUGUCCAAUCCUACCCUAGAGGUUCUAGACCCCUAGCGGCGGAGGUGGCAUCCAUGCGCGCCACCAGCUCACCGGGAAGAGUUGUAUGCCUCCCCGCCCGACACUUGUAGCUCAUGCACCGUGGCACCUGUGGCAUCCCCUUGAGUAUAAAAGGAGAACCCUCGCCAACGGUCAAAGGGGCUGGGCAGAAGAUUGGUUGGCUCCAGUAGACUGUGGGGCUGAGUUCGACCAGCUUAUGGUUAACUUCCAGCACCAGCAAAGAGUAGUAAGGAGUACCUAGCCAGUGAGAGAAAACCCGGGAACUUGCCCGGCAACUUGUAAAAACCCGAUUCUAAACUAAUACCAGCCCAGACAAGCAGGACGUAGGGUUUUACACCUCUGGGUGGCCCGAAUCUGGGUAAAAACGUGCGUGUGUUUGUUCUUGAAUUAGCGCGCACCUCUAGCAUUGCAUCUCGCCGGUCCUGCAGGGCCCCUUCGGCCGUACCGGCGACCGCCAGGGCGAACCCCGACGCCCCUACCGAACCUAAAAGGGGGCCAUGGCUGCACGCCCCCGGUGUCGGAGCACCGUGCGACGACAGUGUUGGAAGAACAAUCCUCAUGCAACCAGAUAACGCUAAACCUCAUCUCCUCCCUACUGAUGAUGCUUUUCGACAGGUCGUGGACGAGACUGAUUUGGACAUUAAGUUGAUACAACAGCCUCCAAACAGUCCGGACAUGAAUGUCCUCGACCUGUGCUUCUUCAGGUCCCUACAGUCACUCACCGAUAGCAGAGCACCGGCAAGUAUCAAAGAACUAAUAGAGGGUGUGGAGGAAGAAUACAAUAAUGACGAUUUCCAGAAGCUCGCUCGAAGCUUCAUGACACUACUGCAAUACCGUAUGGUUGAGGCUAUGAAAGUGGAAGAAGGAAUAGGUUAUGACCCCCCGCACAAGCAUAAGGAGCGCGCAGAAGGGAAUUAGCUACCAUUUAUCACGGCAGAUUUACUAACAAAAACCAAAUCACUUAUAGAAGGAGAGGUUGAAAAAGAAAAUGUGAGGUUGAGAAAGGAGGAGAAUGAUAUUACCAUGUGUAUGAUAGUACUUGUGUACUAGACAAUUUUAGCGUAUCUCUACAUAAAUUAUAAUUUUACUGAAUUUUAUUUAAAAACAUAUUGCAACACUUGAUUUGUUUAUCAGCUCAAUAAGCCAUAAAUUUCCCAAGGAGAAGGUAAAACUAACCUGCAAACAUUUGCCCAUACUUCAUCAUCUAUAUGACUCGAAAAGAAUGUCAUUUCCUCCAUACAAGAGACCGUGAAACACAAUUUGCAGAUUAGGUUCUGAUUUCAAUCCCACUGCAGACAAACAAAUAAUCUAAAUUUGGCAGUAACAUUUUACUGAAACUGCAAUCUUUCUACUCCCAGAACAGGCCUAAUCUGUGGAACUAAUCUUUCUGAUUAUUCUAAUAUGGUCAUCCUACAUGAAUAAUUAUUCAUGAUCUGUGGAACCAAACAGUUAGUAUACAACUUACUCUGUUUAAGGACUAAACAAGAUAAUUGUAAACAUACAUUACUCUGUAUACAGUUUACUCUGUUUAAGGACUAAACAGAGUACAUGUACUAUAUAAAUUAUUUUAUCCUAGGUAACAGAGCACAAUUAUAUCCUUAGUGUAAACAGAGCAUUACUCUGUAUACAAGCUUACUCUGUUUAAGGACAAAACAGAACCAAACAGUUAGCAUACAUCACCAAACAGAGCACAAUUAAUCAACUAAAUUUUACUCCAGUAAAGUGAUGUCCAUAUUUCUAAAGCUCCAAGUUCUGGCCCUAAGUAACACAGAGUUUUGAUUUCAAUAAUAAGCCAAGUAAUCUUACUAAUUAUUGAUUAGGAGUAUACUGCAAGUUCAGGCCUAGUAAUCUUUCUGAUUAGGAGUAUGUAGAUCUAUGGAACAUUCAGGCUAAAAGAGAAUAGCAACAAACAGAGUAAGAUGCCCGAGUUUUAGUUACUCUAGGUUAUUUGCAAACAGAGUAAGUGGUCAGAGCAUCACCAAACAUAGCACAAUUAUUCAACUAAAUCACCAAACAGAGCACAAUUAGGAGUAGAACAGUCACUGGUUGCAAAUUUAAAAACUUACGGUUGAGCACCUGAACUUGAUUUAAAGAUGGAAAAAGAUGGAAAAACAACUGAAUGGUUGAGCACCUGAACUCAAUACCAGCUCCAACUGACAGAUGUGCAUUUCCUCUGAAUGUUUUGAUGGCAUCAGUGUUCCUCAGAACAAUAAUGAAGUCAGCUAACUCCCCUCCAGCGUGAAAGUUAAACCAGCUCCAACUGACAGAUGUACAUUUCCACCAAAAGUAUGAGAAUAAUUUCAUGUGUUAUCAGCGUCUUAAACAAGCUUCUUUGCUGAAAUUGACCAUAAUUUGCAGCAAAUUGGAGCAGAAAAAAGAUCCGUCGUGGUCGGGCUGGACGUCGUCAUCCUGGUCACCCUCGAAGCUUGCAGGAGAUGGGGAACGACGAGGAAGAGGGCCAGCCGGUCGCUGAGCUGCCUCAGCACGACCUACUGCUCAGUCUCCACCUGCCAUGGAGGACAAAGGUAGAAGCUUUGUCCACCUCGUCGCACCGCAGCACCACGUCACCAGCUCAUCGCCUCACUCGUCCCCAUGCCCACCAGAUUGAAUCCACCGGAGGUAGCCACCGAGCCACCUCGAUCAUCUGCUGCUGAACCGCCGGAGUACGCCGAGCCGCCCGAAUUGCCGGCACAUUUAGCAGCAGCGCGGCGCAGGCGCGAGCGAGGCGUGGUGGCCAUCCGAAUCAAGGGAGAGCAGUGCGGCGCAGGUGCGAGCGAGGCGUGGUGGCCGGCGUGGUGGCCGGCGCGGAGCGGCACGGCGACGGGCGAGGCGCGCGGAGCGGUACGGGGACGGGCGAGACGGGGGAGGAGAGGAUGCUUGUCGGAGAAAACGAGAGGUUUAUUUUCGCAAAAAUCACCCCGCAAGUCCUUUCUGGACGGAGGGAGCAGAAUAAUUACGCCGAAAGUCAAAAUAUUACACGUAUCUAAACACUUUUUACACAUAGAUACAUACGUAUUUGAACAUAUUUAAGAUAAGUAAUAGUAAUCGGAGGGAAUAGUUUCUUAUCCGGUAGCAAACCUGUCAGCUCCAGAACGGCAUAAGACUUUGUAGCAGAGCUGAUGGCCACUCCAAGAACAACAAAAGGUCCAUCUUCCUCCGUGUGAUCUUGUUCGGCGCGCUUCUCCGGCAACCGGUCAGCAUUCGAAGCGAUCUUCGUUGUUGUUCCUCCGGUGAUGCACGGUUUCCAUUCAGAAGACACGACGGGCUAGUGAUGCACGUGACCAUGCACCAAGGAGCCGUGCGACAUGAGUCCACUUAUGAAAAUACUCCGUAACAGAGUUUUAAGUCUUUGGACAAAAAAAAAUCUUGCAUGACAGCUCACACUGAACUACUCGUAUUAAAAAAAUUUGAGAGAAAGAACACUGGAGUGAGGUCAAAAAGAAGAAUGAAGAAUGUGCAGCUAAAAAAAGUGAAGUGACUUGUUGGGCCCUUUCGUGGACAAAUGAGGAGGACCAGCCAAACAGCCCAACUCACUCUCACUGAAAAAAGAGCGAGGUAUUCUCAAAAAAAAAAACCGAAAUCAGAGCGAGGUUUACCCUAGGAGGCUCCGCCGCAUUCUUUUGGCCGGCGGCAGCAUCAGCCAGCGGGAAAUGCCGCAGCGUUCUUCGGGUCUGUGGGCUGAGGUAGCUCCUCUAGUUCCACCCACACCCUUCUCCUGCCACUCCAAGCAUGAUCCUGCUCUGGUUUGGUUGAUGGGGAUCCCGGAGCCCUACUAGAUUGAUGUUGUUGUUCGGAAUAACUACUCCCUCCGUUCCAUAAUUCUUAUCGAAAUAUUGCAUGUAUGCAGACACUUUUUAGAAAUAGAUACAUUCAUUUCUGAACAAAUUUGAGACAAGAAUUAUGAAACGGAGGUAGUAUUUCCGUUAUGCCCCCGAUUUUAUUCCCAGGUGAACUCGUUGCUAGCCAUGUACUAGUUGUUGACCUCUGCAAAGGAUGAGGAUUAGCCUUUGGUGGAACUCUUGCGAGUACUUUUUUUUUAGUGUGAUUCAGUUUGUUUUGUCUUUACUCCGAAAUUUGUAUGCGAGAACCAGAUUUCCAUUGGUGCCAUUGGAAAUGAUAUCCACGCACUAGCUUGGUGAAUUCAUGCAUACCAGACCAAGAUUCCAACCAUUCGGUGCAAGAUUGUGUUUUCUUUGCCCACAACUAGUCGAUGUUCAUUACUUGAUUUUUUUUCUAGAAUACACCGAAGUGGGUGUAUCAUCGAUUUAUAGAAGGGAGCUGCGACAUAGCGAGUACAAAAUUAGGUUUUACAAAUUAGCCGGUGUCUCUCCACUGUAAAUCAAUUUACCGAAACCAACAUCACACUACAAGAAAUCUGGUGGUCCAUGACGUUUUCUUUAUGACGCACAAUUAUUUUGUCAUAGAUCUAUGACGAUUUUCGUCAAAACGUCAUGGGUUUGUCCAAAGCCGAAUUGCCAUGCAACCCUUUGACGAAAUUGAAAUAUCGUCAUGAGAAAAAACGUCAUGCAUGACUAAAACUAUACAUUUGCCUCUCUAUGACGUUAUUUGUGACAUGCUAGUUAGACAAAAAAAACUUGAUGAAAUUAUUUUUGUUUCAUAGUUCACGUUUUUAUUUUCGUUUUCCUAUUUGCAGUAAAUUGGCCGUGUUGGGCCGAUAUGGCUGAAAUUAUUUUAUUUUAUUUUAUUUGAGAGGAAUUAAUUUUCUUUUCUAGCACUGAGUACACGUUUUUUCUUUUUUCUAUUUGCAUUAAUUGGCCAUGCUGGGGUCGUUAUGGGCUAUGGUACCGGGCCGCUCUGCUGCUUAUGUGCGUUGGUCCGCUCCUGCUUUUCUUUUUCUUUUUCCUAUAAUUGGAAGGACACGUUGGUCCGCUCCUGCCUUUUUGUUUCUUUUUCCUAUAGCAGGACACGCAGGUACGAAGGAUCGAACUCCCGACUUCCCCUAUCCUCUUGAGGAUUAAAGGAGCAUACCGGCCGUUGGGCUAUAGAGGGAAAUAUGUGUUAUAUGUAUAGUUAACAUAAUUGUACCAUGCUGAGACAUAAAUUGUUAAGUACAUCUUACCUGUUCAGUGUGAAUGUUGUCAUCAGAAAAGUCAGAGGCUAUUAUCCAUACCAGAAUAUUUUCUUCAGGAAAGUUCACUGAACUUACGAGCAUAUACAUGGCAGCACACUGAAAUACUGUAAUCACGGGAUUGGUUUUGCUGCUGCCCCGGCUAACUAGCUAGUCACCUACAGAACUCACAACAUUCAGCAUCUAGUGUCCCAAGAACAGAGUACAGGGUAAGCUGAGGCACGUACACAACAUUCAACAUUUAGAAUAGGCUAGAUAAAUAAGAGAUAGGUACACAAUAUUCAACAUUCAUAUUGCAAUGUAUGGUGAGUAGGAGAGUACAGUAGGCAUUCAUAUAAUGAAGAGGCAGGUUUCUCUGUAUUUUAGAUUGGAACUUUCAUUAUCAGAAAUUUAACAGCCAGGUUUCUCUGUAUUACAAGUUGCAUUCAGAGUCACAUUACACAAGUCUCGGCUUGUUUCUUGCACAAUAAAGAAAAUCUUUACUUCUUGUCUCACCUGCACAAUUAAGAAGAUUGUUACACAAAGCAACUUGUGAACAUGGAAGAACUGCACAAUAUUUAUUGGCUUGUAGUCUGAAACUUGAAUGGAGGCUUUAUUAAUUCAGUUUGAGAAACAACUUGAUCCAUAACCCAUGGCAGGCAUAACUUGUUCUCUUUUAUAUAGAAAAGUCGGCUAUUUUGCUCACAAAGAGACAAAAUUCUCAACCAUCACAGGCAUGUACAGGUAUCACAUGUACUGGCUACUGUUCUCAGAAUAAAAAGAAAAUAUACACUUAAGACCUAGUCAAGUUGACUGUUAUUGUUCACAAUAUUUUAGUACAAAUAAAAUAACUAAAAGCUAAGCUUGCACGAAGUGCUAAGCUGAUCAUAAGCCUUUGUCGCACUCAAUAAAUACAUAAAGUACCAUCCAGUUCAAGUGCUAUCCCUGUUGUUUUUUAAACUGGUACUUAUUCAUAAAUAAUUUGAAGAUGUAGCUAAUAUGAAACUUGUAGAUGUUGUCGAUACCUUUCCAACAUUAUAUUGUUUGUCUAAUUCUGAUGAUUGGCCUGUAAUCUAGGUAGUCACCGCAUUUAUUUUUCGUUGUUUCUACUUAGGAGUUAGUUACUACAGCCUUAACCCCCCCCCCCCCCCCGCCCCUUCUUUAUUUGCAAAUUAUGCCCUGUGAAUGAUUAAUGUGGUCUGUGUUCUUUAUCUGCUUUGGUGAUAAUUUCAAGGAAUCUAUGGAAAAUAUCAUAACGAGAGAACCAAAAUCUGCUGCUGAGGUUGUUUCCAAAGUGCUGAAUGAGAGUACCAAGAAUAACAGAUUCUUGGGGCGUAUUGGUUUGCGGCCAAUCCCUUCGAGUAGAACAUCCAAGAGUAGCCUUAUGGAGAAGCAAGAAGCUGAAAGAGAUGGGAAUGAUGAGCUGCGUAGUAUGAUUGAAGAGUUGGAAAAAUCACAUGAAGAAGCUAAGGUGGCACAAGAAGAAGCUAGGAAAGCAAAGGAAGAAGCAGAUGCAGCAAGAGUAAAGAAUGAGGAAGAGAUGCAAGCAAUGAAGAAGAAACUCAAAGCAGAUGAACCCUACUUCGGCAAGUGUUGAGAAGGUUACAAACCCAGUAAAAACCUCUUUUGUUGAGAGUUUCAUUCAGUUCUGGUCUGGUCUCGUCAUGUGAUGAGAAGGUUACAAAUUAUUAGAUGCUAUGCUUAGAAGGGUACUUUGCAUAUUGUGGUCACUUUGGUGCUUAUGGCCCUUUGGGCUGAAUGUUAUGUCCUAUGGUCACUUUGAUGCUUAUGGUGUUAUGGGCUGAAUGUUUCGUGAUAUGGUCUUGUUUACAUACUUUGAUGUUGGCUAAUACUUUUGUGCAUUGUAAUUUCUCUUUUACAACAUUUGGCCCAAGAGCACAUGGGCUGUGUUGUAUUUUAAAACAACAAAAAGGCCUCUGCACAGCAGAAAAAAAAAGAAACAACCUAAAGAGCCUGGGGAUUAAAAAGAAAAUAGGCCUCAAGGAAAAAAUAACAGGCUCAAACUGAAGAAAUAAAUGGGACAAAAAAAUAACUGGGCUUUUGGACGGGGCCCAUGUUUUUGGCACGUCAGCAAAAAAUCCACAUCAUCAAAUAGUUCCACGUGGAAGCCAUGUCAGCAAAAUAUACAUGUGUCUGCCACAUCAACCCACCACGUGUCAUGCAUGCAAGCAUGCCUACCUGGCUGCCACGUAAGCGCUGGGCUCAUGCUUUAUGACGAAUUGUGACAAUUCCUCAUUAUGUUUGGUCUCAUAACUCAUGAUGAAUUGGGACAGUUUGUCAUAGAACUUUAUGACAUUACACGGGGAAAAACGUCAUGGAGAUGUCUAUGACGUGAGGUCCAUGACGUUAUUUUUCCAUCAUAGAUAACGUCACAGACCGCACUCUAUGACAUUUUUACCACUUCCUAUGACGAUCGGUGAAUGUCAUGGACCUCUAGAAAUGUUGUAGUGUCAACAAUUAGCUUAGCUUUGCUCGUCUCCAGAACGAUGCUUCUCGGUGGAUCUCACCCAGAAUGAGUUGCCACUUGGCAUUGCCAGCCCCAUAAAAAGCGACCUUGUUUCGAUGUUUCCAAAUGGUCCAGAACACCAAGGUCGAGCUUGUAGCAAAUGGCGUCCUCUCAUUGUCCUGAAUGCUCGGAGAGGACCACCACUGAGUCAGGGAACGGCAUCCAAUUGGUUCUGUCCCAGAUGGUCAAAACCUUGAAUCAGAUUGCACGAGCAACCACACAACCCACCAGGAGAUGAUCGAUCAUUUCAGGAGAUUGAUCACACAGAGGGCAAGCUGGCGGUUGCCGUUUGCAGGUGCCACAAAAACGGCCGGCGAAUGUAAUGAUCACUCGCACUCCGUGAAACCAUGUCCCAAGCCCGGCACCCAUAUUUACAACUAGAUGUUGAUUUCCCUAUGCCUCCUCUUCCCAAUAUAUGUCGUCGCUUGAACCUUGGUAGACAGGGUGUUCCUUUCUUCAUGUAGUUGUCUGAGUCUGGCCUCUAUUGUCAUUUGUCAAUGGAGUUUUAUUGAUUAACCGCUGGGGUUUUGGCAUGUGGCUAUGAAAUGAUCCACAUAUAUAUGACGCAGCUACGAGCUUGCAUAUAUAUAGCAGAACUCUGUAUAUAGUACUUCAAGUUGUACUAAAUCAAUGACACUGAAUCGGAGGGGUAGUACCUAUUUUUCAGCCAUAAGUUAGGUACUAUGAAAACAGUUGGUGAAUGUAAUAACUCGCACUCGUUGAGACAAUGCCCAUUUACAACUAGAUGUUGAAUCCCACGUGCUUCCUUUUUCCAGCAUAUGUUGCCACGUGAACAACCUAGCUAGAUAGUGUGUUCCUUUCUCCAUAUUAAUUAUUAUUUGGUUGUCUCGCUUCAUAUAGCAUUGAUAUCAAUAAAACGUUUCAUUUAAAAAAUAAAUAUAAACAUCGCACUCUACUCUUGUUGUUAAUGAGCUAUGUAGAAACGAACGACCGGAAUUUUGGCAUCUGACUACGAUAUGAUCCACAUAUGCCUGCCCACCUGCGAGAGUACUGGCAUCGAGCUUACACAUAUAUGGUACCUAUUUGGGGUCAUAAAUUAAUGCAUGUAUAUCAUUAACCUGCAGCAAGUACAAACUUUGGUUAAAAUUUUCCAGGGGCCGGCAUGCUUAAUUGCUGCAUAUCUAGGUACAUAAAUAGGCAUGUGUCGGCCUGAUUUCUACACCAUAGCUUGGCAAGAAGUCGAUCCACAUUUUCUUUCUUGAUGCAUAUGUAUAUACCAUGAUGUACAAUGCCAAGAAUUAACUUUGGGAGAUCAGGAGAGGGGGUAGUCAUCAGAAUAGCAUGUGAUGCAACCCCUUGUCAUGGUCGAUGUUUUGAUGGGAAUAGGAAGAAUCCGGAAUCAAAGAAGAACACAUCCAUUCAGGUCCGAAUCUGUUAGAAUACUUAGUUUCUUAUCCGGAAUCAAACUGGCAGCUCCAAGACGGCAGAAGACUUUCUAGCUGAGCUGAUGGCCACUCCAAGAACAACAAAAGGUCUCUCUUCAUGCACGGCGCGCUUCUCCGGCAACUAGUCAGCACUGUCUUUGGGAAGAUUAUUUUCAUGACAGCUAACACUGAGCUAUUAAAAAUAUUCAGAGAACAAAAAGAUUGGAGUGAGGUCAAAAAGAAGAAUGUGCACCUUUUUCAUUUUGAGGAAAAGAAGAAGAAUGUGCAGCUAAAAAAAUUUGUCACGUGACUUGUUGGGCUAUUACAUGGACAAAUGAGGAGGCUCAGACAAAUAGCCCAACUCACUCACUCUCACCACAAGACAGAGUGAGGUUUACCCUAGGAGGCUCUGCCGCGUUCCUCUCGCCGGCGGCAACAUCAGGCAGCAGGAAAUCGCCGCCGGCGUGCUUCGUUUUUGUGGGCUCGCUGAUAAGUGCUAUUUUUGCAGUGUUUUUAUUAUGUAGUUUGUAUCUUUUUGUCACAGAUCCGUGUUGCUUUGAGCUUAAAUACAUUGAAAACGGUACAAGUAUCUAAAAAAGAAUGAUUACAACUUGUUCUAAUUUAUUUUGCAGUUAAGUGCGAAAAAGCACAUAUUCAUCUCACAUUGGACGAGCUGCUGAUGCACCAAUAUACCGAAGGACCUGAUCAUCAUGGAAAGAAGAAGGCAAGGGCUGAAGUGAGGAGAAAAGGAUCAACUUGUGAAAAAGGAAGAAAAGGAGAAGAGCCUGGAUGUAAAACUUCCAAAGGGAUUAAAUCCCUAACUCCGGCCUGCUCUGGAUCCCCUUGAGCCUGGCAUUCCCUCUCCCUUCCCCUAACCUCCUGCUCCACCUCCGGCCGCCGCCGCGGCCAGGCCAGCGUGGCGGCGCGCCACCGAGCUAACUGCAGCCCCUUCCCGAGAUCCACUACUGCUCCUCCUCAAGACCGCCUCCGCCGGCAGCGGGCUGCACGAAUCGUCUCCAUCAACCUGCUGCUCCCCCACGCACCGAAGAAAUCAACAGCCAAGGAACCAUCAGCUUGUGUGACCACGACCACGACCUGCAAUGUCCUCCCCUUCUCCAACUUCUGCCUCAUCUCCUUUGGUUUAAUCUCUCUCUCUCUCUGUCUCUGUCUCUCUCUCUCUACCUGCUGUUUGUGUGUACGAGAGUUGAGAGCCUGCUGUUGAUCUUUGGAAUGUUGAGAGUUGAGACUUAAAAUAAUUCGUAUUGUGUUAAAAUUCUCACAUGGACUGGAGGAAAAAUUCACUCUAUCCCUUUCUUUCUCUCUGCUAAUCUUCUCUUGCAUGUGAACUGUGGUAUAGUUUAGUUGACCUAUGAGAACUUGUGGCAUUGAAUUUACUAUUUUGCUCUCUAUCCAAAUCUCUUAUAAAUUUCUUCUGCCCCUGUCUUGAUGUUUACUUGUGCUAGUGUUUUAAUUAUCUAAAGUAAAACGAAAAUCACAAAAAUAUUGCAGUCAUCCUGUACCUUGAAUCCCAUAAUUGUUUCUAUCCCUAUCUUGGAUCAUUGCUUGUGAUGUUUCGUGGUAGAUGAUCUUGUCUUGCUUUUGAGUGGGAAACCUUCUUUUUGUUUGUUUUAAAUUCCAAAAUCAUUUCCUGUGAUCUAGCUUUAACCGAGCAUCGUUGUCGCUGCCUAGUCCCUGUGGAGAACCUCGACAAAAACUACUAUAUUUGCUUCAAUCAAAUUGGCGCCGUUGCCGGGGACCAAAUAUUAGUAGGUUGAGGAGUAUAACAGGCUUGGCUAUUUUUAUUUUUAUUUUAUUUAGACUUCUUGUUUGUUUAAAUAGCAUGGCCGUGUGAUUUACUUUUCAGUACCUUACAUCAAUCUAGUUUAUCUUGCUCUAACCCUUAACAAGUUCUUGUCAGUGCUCGUGUGCAGAAGAACUUAAAUUCUAUUUUCAGGUAAUUGUUGUAUGCUGCAACACGAAGAAACAGAACUAUUACCCUUUGAUCCUGAAAUCGAGAGAACCUUCCGAGAAAGAAGAAGAGAAGUUGAGAAGCGCAAGAAGAACAAAAUCGGAGAUAAACCAUUGUUGCGUGAUCUUUGGAUUCCUAAGGAUCAGAGUGCUUCUACUGAUGUCCUUCAACCUGCAAUUCAAGCCAACUAUUUUGAGCUUAAGCCAGCACUUAUCACUAUGGUUCAGCAUAAUCAGUUCAGUGGGUCUGCUUUGGAAAGUCCUCAUUCCCAUAUAAGAAAUUUUUUGGAGUACUGCAAUACUCUUAAGUAUAAUGGCGUGCCACCUGAAGCCAUUCGGAUGCAGUUGUUCCCCUUUUCAUUGAGAGAUGGUGCCAAGAUGUGGUAUCAUGCUCUACCUGAGGACAAAUGGGAACAUUUAGUUCAGGCUUUCUAUGAGAGAUAUUCCCCCCCCCCCAACUAAGGCAACCGAGUUCAGGGAUAAGAUCACUCGUUUCAUUCAGUUUGAUGGAGAGAGCCUUCAUGAUGCUUGGCAAAGAUAUCAAGGUUUGAUCAGGAUGUGUCCUAAUCACGGGCAAGAACAGUGGUUGCUAUUGCAAACAUUCUAUAAAGGUUUAACACAACAAAAAGAGCUUUUGUUGACUCAGCGGCGGGAGGUGGAAUCAUGAAUAAAACAUUGGAAGAAGCCACGUCACUGAUUGAGAGCAUGGCAUCACACGAUUUCUCAUGGUCAAAUGAAAGAACGGUUCACCCAUCUCAAGCAGGAGUUCAUCAGUUGCGCACUCAAGAUGCCGUUGCAGCUCAAGUAGAUAUAUUUGCUAAGCAGUUAACUCAGAUGAUGCUAAAUAGUAACAACACAUCAAUGGUUUGAGUAGUUCAGACUACAUCUUGUCAGAUCUGUGGUGUUCCUGGACAUUCUCCAAAUGAAUGCACCUUCUAUUCCAGUGCUGAGUCAUCUAUCUCUGAAAUAAAUUAUGCACAGAAUCAAGGGCCUUUUUCACAAAGUUAUAAUCCAUCUUGGAAAAAUCAUCCUAACCUGUCAUACAAGAACAACAAUCAGUUUGCAUCUUCUCAGUCAUCUAAUCAGGGUUUUCGGCAGCAGCAAAAUCAGUUUCAGCAGCAGCAAAAUCAGUUUCAGCCAAACUACAAUAGCAACCAAAGCGUAUCCUCAUUUCCAUCCUCUUCUCAAGGAUUUGGAAAUCAACAGCAGCAACAUAAUUUUCAAGCCAGUCAGUCUUCAGACAUUAGUGAAAUGAUGAAAUUUCAGAAAGAAAUGUUCAAUGGAUUGCAAGAAACCAUGAAAUUGCAAUUGGAAAUUUUCAUGAAGACCAUGCAACAACUCACUGCAGGGUUGCCAAAGUCUCAAACUAAUCAAGCUGAGAACAAGUUGGCAGCUCAACCAGAAGCUAACCUAAAGCAGUGUGGAGCUAUAUAUUUCCACAAGUGAAGCAAUCACAACUAGCUAGGGGAGGAAAAAUAGUUGAACCUAUUCUGAAAAAUCCUCCACAUGUAUCUUAUAUUCCACCACACAUGAGAACUCUAAUGUCAGCUCAUGAGCAAGCAAAACAAAGUGAACCACCUGCACAAGUAGAGCUUGAAAAUGAUGGAGUUAUUCAAGAGCCAGCAAUAGUGGAAGCAUUAAAAAAAUCUGUGAGCUCUUCUUCCAAUCCAAAAGUUCCAUUUCCUGACAGAUUGGAGAAAUGCAAGGAUGAUAAGCAGUUUGCAAAGUUCUUGGACAUGAUGAGAGAUGUGCAGAUAACAAUUCCUAUUUUGGAUGCCGUGUUGCAUGUUCCAAUGUAUGCCAAAUUUUUCAAGGAACUUCUUACCAAGAAAAGAAGCUUAGAAGAACCUGAAAUUGUGACUUUAACGAAGGAAUGUAGCGCAAUUAUUCAUAAUAACUUGCCUACUAAACGUGAUGACCCAGGGAGUUUCAGUAUACCUUGUAUUGUUGGAAGCAAAAAGUUUACCGCACUAUGUGACUUGGGAUCUUCAGUGAGUGUCCUGCCAUUAUCAACUUUCCAAAUGUUUUCACUUGGGGAGCUCAAACAAACUUCAAUGACCCUUCAAUUAGCUGACCGAACUCUCAAAAAACCAGCAGGAAUACUAAUUGAUGUUCCGGUGGUUGUUGGAGAAUUUGCCUAUCCCGUUGACUUUGUAAUAUUGGAAAUGGAUGAUAAAAGUGAUGCAAUGAUACUUGGUAGGACAUUUUUGGCAACCGCCGGUGCUAUAAUUGAUGUCCCAGGAGCAAAACUCACCGUUAAAUUUGGGCAUGAAGAAAUAGAAUUUGAUAUGAGGCAUCCCACACACUUACCUCGCUUUCAAGAUCAGUGUCUCUCAAUUGAUAUGGUUGACCAUUGUGUUAAUGGGACUUAUGAAAGAUGCCAAGGUAGAAUCGAAAUUGAUGCUGACCUAUCUCUGUCACCAGCUGCACCUGUGAUUAGUGAAGUUUGUAGUUUUUCUCCAAAUGAAGACAAAGAAACUGAAAUUACAGAGUGUGAUUCUGAACUGGUGCCCAAUGUAGUUGAGGAACUGAAACCUUUGCCUUCGCAUUUGAGAUAUGCAUUUUUAGAGAAGGACAAGGUACAUCCAGUGAUAGUGAGUGCUUUUCUCAGCAAUAAAGAAGAAGAAGCUUUGCUUGUAGUUCUGAGAAAAUACUGAAAUGUAAUUGGAUACUCUAUUAAUGAUAUUAAGGGAAUAGAUGCAUCUGUUUGUUCUCACAGGAUAUUCCUAGAAGAUGAUAGUAGACCAUCAAGAGAAUCACAAAGGAGGCUAAAUCCAAAAUUACAGGAAGUUGUCAAAAAGGAAAUUCUUAAGCUUCUUGCAGCCGGGAUGAUUUAUCCCAUUUCAGAUAGUGAAUGGGUGAGCCCAAUACAUACAGUGCCAAAGAAAGGAGGGUUUACAGUGGUAGAAAAUGAAGAUUGAAAGGGCAUUUCUCUCCUAGUUAAUAUUGGUGGUGGUGACAACGUGUGUUGUGGACUAAUCGUGCGUUGAGUAUUUCAGAUUUGAUAUCAAAUGGUGCAAAACGAUUUGAUGCCCUCAAGUUGGAAAACGAAGAGUGGUGGAGUUUUAGCGGCU